GCAUGGAUAAGGUUUUGAAGGAAGAACACACAAGAUCCCACAUCCGUUCUACUCUAUCAAAAUCAAAAUAUAUAAUCAAAUUGAUUGGAGUUCCAACUUUGCCAACAAGCUCUACAAAUAAAACAACAAAGCCCUACAAAUACAAGAACUUGAAACUUUAAUUCUUACACAACCAUAGCCUGAUUUCAUUGAAACUAAAGAUAUAGGUUUUUGAAUUGUAACUCAGAUCAAAAUAAGUAAGGAGUAAAGCAGAGGGGAGGAAGGUGGCAUAUAUCAGUAAUGGCGGUCCAAAAACUAGAAAAAACCCCACAAUGGCAUUCAGAUUAGUCAUAUUCCUUCUACUACGGACUAUAUUUACAGCUGUUUAGCUGGAGCAUGACAUGGUAUUAGUUUAGUUAAAAGAGAAAACUUCUAGAAGAAAUGGAAGUAAGAAUCAAGAGUCAGUUCACAAAGUUUAAACAAGAAAGCAUUUUUUGACAAAUCCAUUCCUCGAAACUGUUGCACCUCGUGAACCACCCAAACAAACUCUUAAAGAGGAAAUGAAUUAGAGUUAUUAUCCAAAGAGCAACCAAGGUCGAGCUGUACACAAGCUACAAGAGUCUACUCAAAGCUCAAUCAAAAACAAAAGUCAAAGAGCAUUUUGUCUCCUUAUCAAUUGAAACUUGGCCCAAAAUCCGAAAAAUAAAAAAAAAACAGACCUCAGUUCCAACGGCUAAGUAUCAUCUUUCUCCCUAAACAAAAACUCAGCCAUAUUUCGUUAUAACUAAAACCAACAACAUUCACAGAAACCUCCCACCCUUCAACCCCAUUAAAGCCACGAAACUACAGAAAUUAACCAACCCCAUUUCCCAAACAACUCCAAUAAGCAUAAAAAUUGCAAAUUGCACCUAUUUAAACAAACCCAAAUGAAAAAAAGAGAUGAUAUUGAAAGAAAACAUACUCAGCAAGAUCACCAAGUUGCCUCAAGAUCCCGACAAGACCAGCCACAGCCACACCAUCCAACACAGCUUUAGGGUCCUCUCUGUUUGUCUUUCUGUACAACUCAGGCUGCCCCAAACCGAACUCAUUCCUCACCUGCAACCUCACCAGAGGCAUCUUCCUCUCACUCAAACAGUGAAAGCCCAAAACAAAGUACUCUUUUAUUUACCCCCUUCUAGCUGUUAACUCUUCUGCUGAAACCAAUGAAUGUGCGUGUGGAACGAGAAGCAUUAAAUGAACGAAUUAAGAGAGAGAGAGAUAUCAACAACAAAAAAAUGGAUUCUUUUUUAGUUUAAAAGAGAGAAAUUAGGUGGGAGUGUGGAUUGAAGCAGCUUAACUGCCAAAGAGAAGCGACAAAGAGUGAGAAAGCAGGUUAAGUGUACGGAUCGGUGAGGUAAGGGAGAAGAAGGACAUUGCCAACUCUGCAAGCCAUUCUUGAACGGAAAUCAUUGUCUGAGAAAAACAUGGCUGGAAUUCACUACUCCCAAAAUACCCUCUGUCUUUGCUAAAAUGCCUUACGUGUCCCAAAAGUGUUGUGUGAUAAUAGAUUGAAUAAUCAAAUUCAUGUAUGAAAAUAUAAUAAAUUUAUGAGAUAAUUUUGUUAAUCGAUUUGUUAGCACCUUUAUUGUAGCAUCUUUUAUUGUCAGCUUUUUGAGAAUUUGUCCUCUAGGAUAUUUCAUGGUGUCACUUCACCCGAGGUUCUUGUUGGUGAGAAUUUCUCUUUAUAGGUAAUUCUAUUUGAGAUCACCACAAUUUAUUUUGAUUGUUUUAAGGAUCAGUUUGUAUGAACUAAUAGAUGAAUUUUCAACAUGUUUUAUUUACAAUUGUAUAUUUUUUGAAAAACUUUCAAAAACAUAAUACAUCUUAUAAUUAUUUUAAGUCAAAUAUAUUACCUAAAAGAUUCUUAAUAUAAAUAAUACUAAUUAAUUUUUUUAAAUUACCAUCAAUUAUAUAUGUGGAGUGUGACAAAAAAAAUGUGGCUUUCUAUGGCUCCGAACCUUCGACGUGGGUACCACAAACUUUUUGAGGUUUGGUCAAAAUGGUAAAACGCAAAGGGACCCUAACGCUAGACAUGAAUCGGAGCAUGUUCAAUUUUUGUUUCUGAAAUCCUACUGGGUCAACUUAUGAAAGGAAAGAAUAAAAAUAAAAUAAAAUUGAGAAUAGUGAAGAAGUAGAAUUCUACGUAUGUGAUGUGGAUAAUGCGAGAAAGUGAUGUUUAUGAACGCAAAAAUACGGUGCUUCGGGUGACAAUUACGGAUGGAAUGGUUUCUGAUUUUUCAAUUUCAAGGAUUUAAUGCUAAGAUCUACAAUUUGUUUUAUGUGGUGGGAUAUUAUGUAUAUAGCACCAUAGCUAGAAUCAUGCGGCAGCCUUAAAUAGUUCAAGGAUUUAAUGCUAAGAUCUAAAUUUUUUAUGUGAUGGGAUGUGUAUAGCUAAAAUGCUAGAAUAUUGAUUAGUUAAAAAAUAUUGAAAAUGUUGUAUAAAAUUUAUUAAUAUAUUGAGAAAUUGAUGGAUUUUUCAAGGGUAGUAGUAGUAGUACGUACCUAGAUAGCCAUUCAUAAAUGAAUUAUAAGAAAGCAGUUGAAGUUAUUUACUUGAGCUACUAAGUAAUGGCGACUGCGUGUUACACUCUGUAAUCUUUUCUUGCAUGCUAAUUAAUUUGGUUCUAAUAAGGAGAGAGAGGGAGUAAUGGCAUGGCAAGGGCUACAUAAAUCUAAGUACGAAAAUGGUAUUUUUGUCAAAGAAAAUAAGAAAAUAAAAUGAAAGAAACGGGAAAAGGAAAGUGAUAGAAAGAGAUUUGUCAUUAAUAAGAGUAAGGGGCAAACAAAUUCAUGUGUCAUUUGCCAUACAUCAUAAAUGUAGAUAAGGUAAGUUUUUUCUUCCUUUCUGGAGUUGUUAAGCUAAAGUGUUCAGUGGAUGAAUUGUAAUCCACGUCUUUCAAAAAUCUAUCUGUCUAGUAAUAAAAUGUAAUUUUAAAUGUAUUACGUGAUAUACCAAAAACUAGAUAUUUUGAUAUAUAGUCUAUCUGAGUGGAAAAUGGUUAACAACAAAGAACAUAAUCACCAUGAUAAGCCAGUUUUUUGUGAGGCUUUAAUUCGACAUUGUAGUCAACAGUAAAUAUGCAUUCUAAAAAAAAUGCACGUUUGUUAGGGGAGUAGUUAACAGUAAUACUAACAAAAACAAUAACUUAGGGCAAUUCUCACCAAAUCCUUGAGGAAUAAAAUAUGAUCAAUUGUCUCUUUCGCUGAGUCAAUAAGCGUUGACUAACAAAUCUAGAGGUUAAACGUUUGGUGAAAGGUUUCACUUGAAACAGUUAUCAAGAAUCUUUAUUGGCUUUCACUUCACCCAAAACAAAUGCCAUUUGAUCCCUUUGAUUCUAAUUAUAUUACUACUAUCAAAUUGAUCAUUAUACUACUAUUAUUCCCGGGUCAUUGUAGUAACACUCUGAAAUCUUUGAGAGAGCUACAUAUUUUUAAUUUGGGUUUCCUAAUCCUAGUUUCAACCAAUACACGCAUACUCCCUAAUUGGGUCAGUAGAAAGUAUAAACGCGCCAUUUAUUUUAAAACAUUUUUUUUAUUGCGUGUGAUACAUGGUUUACCGACAUUAAAUAUAUUUUAUUGAAUUGAAUUAUUUAAAUAAUAAGACGAACAAAAAUUAAAUUACAUCGACAUAACUUAAAUAAUUAUUACAUCAUUUAAUAACUUGAUGUAGAAUAUAAUUUUUAUUAAUUCAAUCAUUAACUACAUUUACAUAUUAUUAAAAUUUUCUAUGUCAAAUUUUAUCAAAAUUAAACAAAAAUAAUCAAAUGAUCUAUAUUUUAAUAUAUUUUGAAAAAAUUAUAUUACAUUAAUUUUAAUCUAUAUGAAUUAAAUAAUAAAUAAUUUUAAAUUAAUAUGAAAUUUUAAUAUGAUCUAUGUCAAAGAAAGUUUUAAUUUAAUAAUAAAUUUUAAGAAAAUAUUAUCUAAUUAAAAAUUAUUAACGGAUGUAAAUUGUAAUACUUUAUCAAAGUUACAUGUAAUUUGAUAUUUCAUUAAGUUUUAACAUAAUAAAUAUUUACCCCAAACAACUAUUUUAACUUCUCAUCAUGCUAUCAUGAAUACAUAAUAAAAAUAUCUUUUAAUAAAUAUUAAACAAUAACUAUUAUGGUAGACAAGAACUAUUUUAACAGAUAAUUAAAUACCAUAUUUGUUGUUUUGUUCAGGGUCACUUUAUAAAAAAAAUCUAUUUAUUUUUUAUUUUAAAAUUUCAACGUAACAUUUUUUUAAUUUUAUCUUCAUCUCAGAGAAAAAAAAACAGUUGUUUGUUGUUUUGUUUAAAAUAUUUUUUAGUAAUUAAUAAAAGAUAUAACUAUAGAAGAACAGCUAGAAUAUAUUAGAAAAAAUGAAAAUAAUUUUAACAUAUUAUUAUAUUCUUAAUCCGAGUGUAAAAUCUUUAAACCACAAAUAAAAUAAUAGUUGUCUUUAUUUUUAGGAAUUUGUUCCUUUUUUUUAAUGUCCCUGACAAUCCCAAAGAAUUCUUGGUACUAAUAAACAAUAACACCAAAUUUAUUAUUAAUAAUAGCAUAAUUAAAUUUACUAUGCGUUAUUAAUUUCAUAUGAUUGGAUAAAAACAUAAAAUAAAAAAUUCACAUUAAUAUUUGAAUCAUUUUCAUCGUUUAAAUACAAAAAUAAAAAAAAUGCAUCAAUGAUAUGACAAAAAGAAUAAACCAUUAUCAUUCAGUAUCGAAUAUUUAUUUCGAACAUGGGCAUUUUAAACAAAUUUAAAAUGACCAUAUCAAGUUGUGGUUGAUUAUGAUUUACUAUAUCUGAGUCAACAUUAUUAUAUAAUCUAACAUAAUUCCAACAAAGUGCACAACGGCACUCUGCUUGCCAAAUCCAAUGCUGCCAUUAGCUGAGUAGUGGAAAGUUCACGCUGUUGCGUCACAGUAAUCUAUGAAGACAGGCAGUGCCCAUAAUUAGUCCUUCAAUUUGUUUAGGUUUCACAAUAUUCAAAGGGAUAGAAUAGAACUUAUAUUUUAAUUACUUUGUCAAUUUAUCAUAAAUCAGAUCGUUCAAGUUAUUGGAUUGUGAAAAGAAGUACGUGAAAGCAAUCAAAUAUAAUAAUACGUGGCAGGCUAGAUAAGUAAAGCCAAUGUGUUAACAUGUCUUUAGGCAUCUUUGGCCAUAAUUAAAGGGUCCAUGACUGCUCAAUGCAAUUAAUUAUAUAUUCAGCCAAAUAAGCUACUCCUUUCUCUGAGUAUGAAUUAAAUAGUUGGAGGACUUCAAUUUUCCAUUCCUUUUCUUCCUGGUCUUUUUUUUUCUUUAUCUUUUCUUUGUGGCCUUUUAAUUUAUGUGUCAUUAAUUUGUUGCUUAUUUUCGUUAAAAUUAAAAUAUGGUACAUAAAAAGUAAGAUGUUUGUGCUGUCCCAUUUCUUUACAGAGUGAUAUUUAUUAAUUCAUACGGCCAGUUCAAUGGGUUAGUUUCCUUUUUCAUAUGUCAAUUUUGAAACAACUCGAGUCCUAAAUACGUAUGCUUAACUCUUACUUAGCACGGGGUAGAAAAAAUUAAAAUAAAAACGGUAAAUCUAUCAAAUCUACUCAAUUUAUACUUUCAUGAGUAGUAUAUUAUAUUGUUUUAAAUAUAUUUUUAAUCUCAAUUAUCACUAGUAUAAAAAUGUUUUUAAACAACACCUAAAGUUUUAAAUAGAGUAUCUCUUCAACCAUAUGUGUUUUAGUAUUUUGAACACCCCACGCUCACAAACUUUGGAAAUCCCUUUGCAAUAGAAUUUUUUAAAUAACUCUUGUUUGAUUUAUCCGUACGCAGGUAUCAUUGUAUCAAGGCUUCAAGAAAUCAUAUGGCGUAUCAUUAGUAAAGUAAGGUGAGAAAUUUCAUUUCUUGAUUUUGUUUGUUUGUUUGUGUCUUCAAAUAGGAUUCUUAAAGUUCGAUAUUUCUUUAAUAAAUAAAAAAAUGAAAUAUUAAAUAAAAGGGGAGACAAAGAUAACAGUUUCACAUGAUAUUCACGUGAGCUACUUACACAUCAAAUACAGAUAAGGGCAAUCAGGUGAUGGGAUCAUGGUACCUGUGCUGUGCUCACCAUUUCUCUAUAAAAUACUGAAGCUACAUAGAUCAUGCCAAUGAAAUAAAUUAAUAUGUAUGGAGGUUUCGAAAGAUAAUUUUUAAAAAUAUAUAUAUUUUUUAAUUAUGUCUUGAUUAAAUUAAUUAGCCACUAAGAGUUACAUCACAAACCAUUUAUUUAGGUGUUUUACAAUUAAAAUUUCUUAUGUUGAUGUACAUAUAAGAAUAGGCGAAAUUAGAGGAUGAAGCAAAUAAGAAGCUUUAUGGGGCAUUCGACCGAUAUAUCUCAAGCUAUGCAUCUCUGUGUGGAGGUUUCAUAUUUUGCAGCUUCUUUGGAUUGUUCAAACACCUUGUGGGAAAUUCUUUUCUUAAUAAUAUUUUUUUGCCUCUUCAAAAUAAUAAUUAUAAUAAUUAAUGUUGCAAGUUAUAUCAAUUGUUGUCAGAAAGCCAUCAAUCACGAACCGCAAGUAUGAUUAACUAUUGAGUCACUCUCUUAUGACUUAGGCCUAUUCUUCGAUUUUUAGUUGAGAUAUUAAUUAAUUAGUUAGCAUGAUAGGCUAAUUAUAUACAAUAAAUAGAAUACUCCUCACACCAUAUGUCCUUGCGGAUUUCAACAUGAGACGGUCACACCACCAUCACAAACUAAAUACAUAAUCGAUUAAAACAACUAUACAUCGCAAGAGCCAUCGUUAAAAAGAAAGAAAAAAAACUAUAUAUCGAAAGAAUAUAUACCGACAAAAAAAAUAUAUUAAUUGAUUCGCUCUGGGAAAUUAAGAGUUUCUCAAUAUUGACUAGUUAGCGCGUUAGAUGGAUGUUAACACAGCUUUAAUAUGCAAUUAAUCCAACCAUGUUACAUCUCAAAGACAAAGAAGAUGUUUAAUUAACAUAUUUUUAAUUUUAUAGUCAUUUAAUGCAUAAACUAACAAGGCUUUAAACUCAAGGUAGUGGUGAAGCAGCAUAACUGAGGUUAAUUAUCCUUCUAUGUGUAGUUACUCUGUUAUGUUCAGUUAUAGUUAAGUCUUUGGUUCUGGUUCAUGUGUAGAAUGUCACAUGUAAAUAUUGUAACUGACUUUGUACACUUGAUCAAUCAAGAAAAAUGAUUCCUAAUCUGGUAUCAGAACUUGGCCAAGAGUUCUGGUUGCAUGAAUCUAUAUUCUUCUCAUUGUGAUUCUUUCCAUCGUUUUCUAUUACCAUCUCCUCUAAAAUUAUGGCAAAUCAGAGUUAUUCUAGUUUUCUCACCAAUCCAUCAAUCCCUCUUUUCUUCCAUCUCAAGUGCUUUUUUUUCCUCCAUUAAAUGGUAGAAAGUAUCAUGCAUGGGCUAGAACAAUGAAACUGACUCUUUUUGCCACAAGAACAAAUUGAAGAAUGUCUAUGGUGGUAUUCCUGUUCCAUACUUUCAUUGAUGUCAAAUCCGAUCCAUGCAGUUGGGGCUUGCGAGAGGUGUAAUGUGAUGGUUCUUGCAUGGAUUCAUUGUUUGAUUUAGGACUUUAUGUUGCAAUCCAUCUGUGCAUAGAUCAAGUUUCGGAUCGAAUUUGCAAAGGGGUUAUUCUCAAAAUCUUUGAUCUGGUACAGAACACCUAUCCUAUGCAUCAAGAUACACUAACUGUCACUGAGUAUUUCACUGAAUUAGAAUUCUUAUUGAAUGAAAGAUAAUUUCAAGCCUGCUCCUAGUUCCAUGCGUUUGGUUUUGGAGAAAGUCAUUGUAAUUUUAAGGGGUGUUGGGUAUUUAGAUUUACAUGCAGGGAAAGGGAUAUAAUUGUGUGGUAGCAUGCUUUCACUGCUCCUAUUUUUUUUUACUGGCAAAUGUUAGUAGUCAUUAGUUUGUUAACACAAAGAUUUGAACUCAAAAUCUUUCUCUUUUCUUCUCUUUUCACCAUCUAGACAACCUUAUAUAUCUUAUUCAUAUUACUUGUAUCAGUGUUUAUCUUAGAAAGGACACACCUUGUGUUGUUCUCUAAGUUUUAUUAUCAAUAAAUUUCACUUGACUUAAAAAAAAACAGUUGUUUUAGACAUGUUAAAUGUGUGAUGCAUAUUUUUCUUUUGAAAAGAAACAUCUAAAUUAGGAUAAAAAAAAAUUGUUUGAAAUACGAUUCAAACUAAACAAUAAACAUGGCUACCAAAGAAGACGCUGAAAUACAAGCCGAGAGAUAGUAUGUUUGGAAUAAAUUUAUGGCAGAAAAAAAUUACUUAAUUUUUGACAGUGAAAAUAAAAUUAUAAACAGUUACUUUUUUUUUUAUUGAUAAUACUAUGAUUUUGUAGGAUAGACUAUAAUCAAUUACAUGUUAUCCAAAUACUCUAGAAGCCAGUGAUGGCCGUGGUCAAGUUUGAAAACUGGCGCCAGGGUGGAGGCUCCAGGUUUGUUUGAUGUGCUUGCAAGUGUGUCUGUAUUUUGCAAGAUUUUUGACAAGUUUUCUUUCACUUUUUGGUAGGCCCAUUCCUACCCAGUGGUCCAACCCACAUAAUUAGCCAUUGGCAGAGUAUUAUCUGACAUCAAUGGUCCAAGAGACCAUGUAGCAUUAAAUCCCAAAAGCCUUCAUACAAUUUCGUCCCUUGGAAUGAGAUCAUUGUAAACUUUUUUUUAAUUGAUAAAUAUUAAUUUAUUAAAAUAUUAAUUUUAUUAGUAAAAGGGAUUGAAUCACAACUUUUUUUUUCUCGCCCAACUUACAUUAUAUCUCUUAUAGUGUUAUUGUAAACACAUUUAGCUUCUACAUCAGCUAAUAGGCUCAAAAGUAAAGUGCUAUUUGAUUAGAUCGUAGAAUUAAGGCACCGAAUUUAGGACUCAUUCAAUUAUGGAGGGGAUAUGUACCAUAGCACCUACCAUUCCACGCUUCGGAUAAAAUAAAAAUAUAUAGCAAACUAAUAAAAAUGUUUACGUGUUAUCACCAUGUUGAUUAAUGGGAUAGUCUUAGAUCGAGAGGUCACAUUCAAACUUUUAGAGAAAGCUCUUUGUCCCUGCAAAGUAGCUCAAGUGGUAGUUAUCAGGACACGGGUUGAAAUCUUCCCUAUAACACAAAUCAUUGUGUUUGAUCUUCCAUCAGGGAAAUGUUUUGGUCACUAAAUGCAGUUGAUUGGGUAACAUAGCUACCAACACCCCCGAAAACAUCAUACUAUAUAACAUGAAUAAAUAUAAUUAAUAAGCACACUCUCUUAUCUUGCCUCAACUUCUCUCACACAUAGAUCACUGGCUCUAGUGAAUUCACUUUCAUAAUCGAAUAUAAGGCCCACAUUGUCACCAAUAUGCUAUGGCAUUUUGUCUGGAGCUGGUUCUCUUGAGAAGUUGGGAAACACUAUGUCCAAUAGCUUUUGUUCAAUUCAUCUUAUUUUUGGUUACUAAUUUGGCCCAAGUAGUCUACCUACAUGGCUACAUCACCAAGCCCAUACAAUCCAAUUAUGUUAGCUUAUGGAUUGGACAGUACCUCCAUAAUUGUGCUCAAAUUUGAGAUCCUUAAGUCAACCCACAUAAGCUGAAGUAGUAGCCGGGAAUGGUUGUCUUUCAGAGCUUUACAAUAUGGAACUGUAUCAAAUUUCCCAUCAUCCUUCUUUUCAGCAAUUGCUUUGCAUGAGUCAUCUUUGCUUUAUUGCUUAGCCACAAAUGGAUUCAAACAUGAUCUGACAAGCUGUGGGAACACCCAACAUUUGGUGUUUAGCUUCUUAGCAUAAUUGUAUCAGUCUUGAAAAUUUGUUGCUCUGCCCGUUGGUGAAUAUUAUUGAUUAUUGAUAUGAUUGGCCUGUUAUGUGGCUUAUAGUUUAUGGGCUUAAAGUAUGGAUUUGUUGUUACCAUUAGACCAGCCCAAAUGCUCCAUCAUGAGCUAUAAUUAGUAUGCGAAAAUUAAUACCUCUUAACUCAAUUUUUUUUAUCAAUUUUAGGACAGUUUUUUAAAAAUUAAGCGAAUAUUUCGUUAAAUUCAAGCUAAACCAGCUAUUGUGCACAUUGUAGCUCGAACAACCAGCUAUCCUUUUGAGCUGCUGAGAAUUCCUCUCACUCUUUCAACAUUUCCCUAUUGCCUUUUUAAGUUAAUUUUGUUAGGGAGAAUUCCUCUCACUCUUUCAGCAUGUUUCAUAUAUAAACAAAAAGACAUAAAUAUAUAAUGAACAUUUAGCCUCAACUUAGAAGUAAACUUAAUUCUGCUUAAGAUAUGCUUAUUUGCUGUUGUAAUCUUAUUAUCGUUUCUUUUAGAUACAUAUAUACUUGUCUUGGCUCUCUGGUAAAAUGGUUCUAGAGAGACAAAUAAUAAUAAAUAAAAAAGUUAAGUAUCUUAGAAAUAAUUCUACAGAGUAGUAUAGUAGAAUAUUAAAAUAUAAUUUAUAAUGUUAUUUAGUUUUUAUUUUAAUUUCCUAAAGGCAGGUGUAGGAUUAUAAUUAUUUAAUUGUUGGCAUUUGUUAGGUUACAUAUAUAAAUGUAUUUAUCCUACCCUAUCAGUAUAAAUGAAAAAACAUUUGCUAGGUUAAUUACAUUUGUUAUGGUAGUGUAUAUAUUUCACAUUGACUGAUCUCUCGAGAAUGGCCCUUUACUUUGACGCCUUCACUAUUAUGAGGGUUCUUCUUUAGUUGUCUUCCUGUUUGUUUCUCAAAAUCUACCCAGAAAACGCCAUUCACUAUAAUUUCGGAUCCUAAUAAGGGAGCCUUAAGAUGGUUUAUCCAUCUCCAAAUUAAGUAAUAUCGAUACAAAAACAGUUUAGUUCUGUCUCAUCCUGAUCUUAUGCCUACUGCUAGAAUGCUGUGAUAUAUAUAUGGUGCCAGCAACUGUUGAUAUUCUAUCUUUAUAAUGAAAAUUUUCAUGUCUCUUUUUAGGCUGCUUUUUUUAAUAAUCAUUUUCAUGACUAUUUUACAUGUGAAUUUGAAGGAUGACAUGGGAACUUAAUUCUUUCCCAAAUAGAAUACUCAAUAUAUUGUUAAAGAUGUGAUUUUUUUUUCAUUGGAAACAUGCAUUCAAGCAAGAGAAUCAACUAUCCUUUAACCAAGAGAUAUUAUUUAAGCAUGAGAUGUGACAUUAUUAUUUAAUAAACGCUGAUUGAAUCCAUCAUAUAUUUUGCGAGAAACAAAUUAGAGUGGGUAAGCAAAUUAUGCUGCGAAACAGAUUCAGUAUUCACAAAUAAAAUGCUUGGGAGAAGAAAGUGCAUGUUGCGUUGAUAACCAGAUUAUAAUCUCACUAUUGCAGCUAUCAUGAGUGCGUGACCAAGUUUUACGAUUCAUUCAGCCUAUCCUUGGAAGAAGCAGGAUGGAUAUAAAAAUGAAUCGAUUGAGAGUUGAAGCUGAAAUUAUUGAGUAUCCUUGUCUACAACAUGAAAUGAAGACUUUAAUUGUUAGCUAAUACUUAUUUGAACAAAAUAAAAUUAUUAGAUGAAGAUCCAUUUUUACUAUUUUAUUAUAGUUUUUUUUUAUUUUCAAUAAUUAAAGAAAAUAAAGUGAAUGAUCCAUCCUUUUUUUUUGUUUGGUUAGAUUAGAAAGUAGAAUAAAAAAAUGGAAAAGUCAAUUUUUAAAAAUAAAAACUUAAAAUUUUCCUUUUCUCAUUUCCCUAUUUUUUUUUAAUUUCAUUUUUUCCUCGACUAGCUUUCUUAUUUUCUAAGGGUAACAAAGAAACUUCUUAUAUGAGUAUCAUUGCUUAUAUACUAUUUUUUUUAUCAAUAAAAAAGAAUUAUUUUUCUAUAAAUAUAAUCAGUGCAAAAAUUAAGAAAAUUGAUUAAGCACUCACUUUAAAAACAUUAAUAUUUGAGUAAAUUUUCAUAUAGAAUUCUUAAUUUAUGUGACAGAUCUAUAAAUUGAAGAUAAAUAAUUUAUUUAAAUAAUCAUGCAUCAUAAAUAUUCUUAAUGGAGACAAAAAAAAGAGACGAUAAAAUUGACAAUAAAAAUGUCAUUUUAGAGACCAAAAAAUAAUUAUAAAUCAAAUCAGCAAGAACCACUUCAGACUGGAUCACUGAGUGCAGUCCUCGCUAGAAAACAUUUUAUCAGGUCCUUUUAUUUGAGAAAAAUCAAAGGACCACAAAAGAAAAUUAAAAUCAGGAUGGAAUAAUUUGAUUGAACAUCCACACUGACCAGAUAAAAAUUCCAUCUGGAAUGUGCUGCAAUCCAUAUUGACAUUUUUAAUCCCAGCUCUAACCUGCUGUACUUUAUGGAAAGCAUUUUGUUUUUCAGAAAUGAUAUAGGAUGACAGAAUCAUUCCUCCCAAGCAGAUCAUGUUUAUCAAAGAAAAGGCACUGCAACAUUGGUGACCCGUUGAGCUUUCUGGUUUAUGUUUUUCAACUUUUUUUUAGAAAAAUGGUACGUGGGAUACUCCAAAACAUCAUGUUUGAGGUGAGUAACUUGGAGGUGAUUAUGAAAAAAAACAUAAGAGAAUGAUAGUAGUUAAUUAGUUGUUUCAAAUCAAUACUUUACUUUUGCCCUUGAAAGAACAUUUGAUUCAAAACGAAUAAAAAUAUUGAGAUAAAGAUUUUGUAUUGAUUUGAAAAUUUUAUACUAUAUUUUAAUGCUAUUUUUUCAAGAUUAUUUUUUUUAAAACACAAAUGGCUCUACUUUAAAAUUAAUUUUAAUCAAAAUCAAUUUUAUAAAAACAGAAUUACCUAAAAUGAAGCUUAUGCUGAAACUAAUCUUGCCCAUGUCGUCCUUCUGUUAAAGAAAUGUAGAAUUUCCAAUCGUUGGUGUCAAUUACGGUUAUAUUUUACUUGCUAAAAGUAUACUAUAGUAUAAAAAAUAUGCUUUCGUAAUUACAGUCAUAAUAAAUUAUGGAAAAAAAUCUCAAAUUGAAAAAUAUUAGAAUCUGAUUUACAGUUAUGAACCCCGAUGUCUUACGGCUCCAGGAUGAGAAAUGUAUAUAGUAGAACUUGAACUAUGAUUCGUUAUUAUUGGAACUUAAUCAAGGAUCGAGGAUUAAAGAAAUUAAUAAAAGUUUCUUAUUCUAGGAUGAAUAAAGAGUCUUUGAUAUAGGGGACCAGGGAACCCUGAAGUAACCGGAGAUUUCAUCAUUUAAUUGGAGACAGUUGAGAAGAAAGUGGGGGCCAUUUCACGUGCUUGUGCUAUUCUCUUACGCUUUGCUUGGGUGGGAAAGAAAAAGAAAAAAAAAUAAAGAAAUAAUAAAUUUUAUAAAAUAAUUAAUUCUAAUUAAAAAAUUAAAUUUAAUCUAAAAAGAUUUAAAUUUUUACACAUAUACACAAUCUCAAGGAAUAAAUCUGUGCUAAAACGAAGAUUGGACAAGCUGGUUCAACCAAAAAUGGUGAACUGAUUAAACGUCCCCGAUCCAAAUAAAUUAUAAAAUUGACCAUGAGAAAAAUUGAUAAAAAAAUUGUAAAUUUUUUCAAAUUUAGCCAAAAAUUGGUUCACAACGAGUCAAUAAAAAACAUUUAAUGUAAUGUCGUUUUAAUUUUUUUAAAAGUAAUUAUUUUUUUUGUUUUAGACGUGAACUUAUUAUUAUUAAUGAACCUUGUCGUGUAUUUUAAAUGCCAUUUUUUUCACAGAAAUUUGUAUAUUAAACGUUAAAAACUUAUAAAAUGCUUUUAAAUUCGGAGACAACAGAUACUGACAUUUGUCAUACAGAUCCAACUGACCAACACCAACACUGAAAAAGUGGAAAAAGAGAAAAAAAAAAAUGAAAAGCAUUGAAUGAAGGUAUUUUCGUAACGUCAUAACUCAUAAUCUCUGUCUAAUUACUAUUGAUAAAGCUGCUUAUAUUCAUUUUGCGCAUAAUCUUUGCCUUUUCUAUUUGAAUGACUAGAUAUACGCUGCCAAAUUGCCUUAAAAUUAAAAUUAGACUAAUCUGGUCAGAAGUCGUAUAAAGAUGCAUAAUUAAAGUUUCCAAGAAUAACAUAAUUUAAUAUUGGCUUACAUUGUUUACAACCUAAGUCUUAUCUAACUGGCCGGCCUAUCAUAUUGAAAAAUGAAACCCUUAAUACAAUAAACUAUAAUUUUAUUCUUACACCUAUUUUAAAAAAAAAAUUACAGUUUAGCAAGAAAUAAAAAAAUUGUGAGAAUUAUUAUAAUAACAUGAUCUAAAAAUAAAAGAUUUUUUUAAAACUUGCAUGCGACACAUUGUAAGUUUGAGUCUCCCAUCUCCUUUAAAUGAUGUAAAUAAAAGUUUUUAUUUUUUAAAAAAAUGAUGUAAGUCAAGGGAUUUUUCUCACUUCAAACUAUAGUACUAUCUCUUUUUCGUUGAAUAUAUUACCUAUAAAAAUAUUGCAUUCUUUGUUUAGAAAUAUUUGAGUUAAAUUUAUUUACUUAAUAAGUUAAGUAAAAAAAUGAUAUCUUAUUUAGAAAUAUACAUUAAGUUUUAAGCACUGAUCAUCUAAAUUUUUAGUGCAUCACAUAUUAACUUAUUUAAAUAAAUAAAUUAUUAUUAUUAUUAUUGUUAUUUUCAUGUGUGUUCACUUUUUUUUAAGAUACACUAAUGUCAUUUGACAAAUUUGUAAUUUUUUUUCUGUUUUACUCUUAAGGUAGUAGUUAAUGUGAAAAAAGACCUUUGUCAUUGUGGGGUUUACUGUCAAGACAUAAACUUGUAUUGAUAAAAGGUCACCGGCAAAUUUUAUCCACUCCCAAAAGGAUAAUAUGAUGUGAUCACUUCCAUCAUUGACUUAAGAUGUUAAUUAUAAAAAUUAGGUAUGACCAAAUGCAUACUAAAUUUGAAAAUGGCAGCAUCCAAAUCCAGUGAAACACAGGUAAAUAUUCGAGCUGACGCCCAAAGAAAAUACUAGCAAAAUCAUAUAGUCCACUAAAGAGGAAAUAAAAGUGUCCCUAACAUAAAUAAUUAAGAGAUGAGACAAAAAAAUAAAAAGCAUAACCAUGUAACUCAAAAAGAAGGGAGGAGCAGGAUAGCUACCUCAGUUUUUUUAAUUAUUAACAGAAAUAUUAGCAAUAAUAAAAUAAGAUAACUCUCAUGAAAUUAAAUCAAAUUAGUUGAAUUUGUUAUAUAUAUAUAAGCAUUGAAGUUUGAAGUGUUUUUUAAUAGUUUUAAAGUUGAAUGUUAUAUUACAUUUUGAGUAAUUUGAGUUAAGUUGGAUGAAUUUAUAAAAAGAGAUAAUUUAUUUUUUCCAUUCACAAGAUUGAGAUUUGAGAUUUGAGACCAUAAAAUCUUUACUAGUUUAACUAACAAAUGUUAUAACUUGUUAGUUAAUUGGGCCUAAACCAUUCUCGAUCAUGACUUCACUGGUUAGUUGAAAGAAUAGUGAUGAAAACCGAGGAGUCAGGUUGAUGAGGGGAUAGUGGGGUGAGUCUACUUCUUUCGUGUGGUAUGAUGUCUGGUGCUGAUCAUGUUGAAGGGUGAGAAUUAAUGAAUUUAUCAAAUACUCACACUCGAUCGUUGAAAAUGUUAUCAAUUGUGUUUGAUAUCUAAGGUGAGUUGGUCAUACGUACGUAGAAUAUUAACCAGUUUUAGAGUAAUACGAUCGACUUCUUCUGUAUACACGUGAACUAUGAUGUUCUUGGACUUAAGUUGUAUAGAUGUUUGACUUCAGUUUACAUCUGAACUUUGACUCUUCUAGAGUUGAACUCCAAGCUAGCUAAGCCUAAUCCGAAACGCAUAUUUUUUAGGGUAGUAACAUAUUUAAGUUUUGGAAUUCUGUUCAAGCCUUUUAUUCUGUUUCACACCCCUUCAUUAUUUUUCCAUUAUUCCUAGUUUCAUCGCUAGUUUCACUCGUUAUGAAAGCUGGAUAAUUCUAUCUUUACGACCCCGGAAUCAAGUUAACGUACGUCUCCGCCAUAUGGUAGGAACUACGAGUUAUAUAAAUUUGAUUUGGUGAUCAAAGGAAAAAAAAAAGAUUAUAGAUUCAAAUCUUUUCUACUAAUAAAAACUAACAUACUAAUAAAUAGCAACUAAUAUUUGCCCAUAAAAAAACUAUCUUGUAUUAUUGUUGGACACCAUAUUGCAUAAUAUUCGUUAUUGGAUACUAUAAGUGUUUUUGUUUACACAUGCAGAGAAAUUCAAAACUCAAAAUGGGUCCACUGGCUCAAGAAGUAUCUCUGCUAAAGAGCUUUUAGCAGAGAAUCACAGUACUAAGGAGUAACUAACGAAAAAGAAAGCCAAUCUUAAAAAAAAAAAAAAAGGUCCAAAGAUGUACUCUUAAUGACUAGACAUCCAUUCAUAUUUGGCUUGGUUAUAAACUGAAAUGAUUCAUUAUUUUUCCGUUACUUUAACAACGAGCUAGAUACGUAAAGGGUUGUUGAAGGGGAAAAAAAAAGAGAAGAUAAACAUAGGAAGGACAAAUUAGAGUAAAUUAAUGGCAUUUUGUAUAUUGAAAAAUCAUUAUACCUUACUUUGCUGCUGAUUCUGUGUUCCGGUAUAUGCGUUUCAAGUGAUAACUCCCUCGAAAAGUGCAUCAUUACCCUUGAGUUGGAGCAUUAUAUAUAUAGACUUACUAGCUGUUUCUAAUUAAGACUCAACAGAAAAAUGAAAUAAUGAUCGAUGCAAGCAAAGGAAACCUUGCACUUGGUGAAAAGCACAUAUUAUUACCAGCAUUUUAACCUGGUACUACAUGGAAUUGUCUCCCAAAAAUUAGACAAGGAAUCCCAGGAUAAGACAAAGGAAGGGCCAAAGGAAUAAACCCAAACCUUUGUCACUAUUUUUUUGAAAUGACUUCCAUUGACUGUAAGAAAGGAAAAGAAAUAGUAAAAAACAUAUAUUUCUGAAAAAGGAAUAUAAUUAAAAGAAGAAAAAAGAAAGUAAUAAUACUUGAUUACUUAGUCAUGUAAUAAGAGGAUGGAGGAGGUGUGACAGCUUAUGGUGGUUCGUGGAGCUGGGUCAUCAUGACUUCAUGUUACCAUGGAUCGCAGUGACUUGAGCUAGCUAGGGAUGUAGUAGUAUAUGGUUUUCGAUUUUUUAAAUUUUAGAAUACGUAGACUCCAAAAUGGAGAAAAUAUUACAUACUCCGUUUAUAUAUAGUUCAAGAUUAUUAUGAUCUGAAUUAAGUUUUACUGUUAUGUAAUCGAAUUUUAUUAAUUUUUUAAAUUAAAAAUUAUAUUUAUAUAUUACGUAAAGAUUAGUCGCAAGAUCAUAAAUACAUAGUAAUUUAAAACCAUCUAAUAAUUUUCUAAAAAAAUGUGUGGUCGUAUGAGUUCCGUCCAUAUUAUAAAAAUUGUUGUAAUCGUGUCGGUCCCUUGAUUAGAAUUUUUUCUUGUUUGAUAAAGUAUCCGUACGUAGAAAUCCAUUCUCUUAUGUUUUCGUUGUCAUUUGCUUCUAAGAAAACUUGAAUGUUUUACUAAAGGGAGGUUGACGUUGUUGGUGGAGGAUAUGACCAGGUCAGAGAAAAAUUUGCAAAACGGGUGGGCCAUGCAGAAGCACGGUACUCGUGCAAUGCAUAAUGGGGGUGGAAAUGGAAUCAAAGGUACUAACUUGAAGAAGAACAUGGCGCGGAACAUGAUGUUGUGGUUGCCAACAUUCAUGAGAGAGCUGGUUGUUGGUUGGAGUGUGAAACUGAAACAUGUAUCCACGAAUCUGAACUAGUGAACUAACUCCAGUUUCCACAAACGAGCCAUCAUCAUCCACGAAUGUGAAAUUGGACUGAAAGCUGGCAAUAAUGAAUAACCUGAGGCUCAAACUACGUACAAAUUAAUUAAACUAUCAAUAUUCGGAAAAAAAAAUAAAGAUAAAAAAUGAUUUUUGUGCUUCAAAUAUACUGGUUUUAAUACUUACAAAGAUUUUAUGUUUUAUUAUAUUAAAUUAAAGUUUAGAUUUUUAUUUUGCUUCAUAUAAUGUUAGUUUGAGUAGAAUUAAGUCUAAAUUUCUUAAGAUAUCGAAUUUAAAUAUUGUAGAUAAAAAAGUAAUUGAAAAAUAGAAUUUGAUUAAAGAUGGUUGGUUAGAAUUCUUGGCAGAGUUAUUUUAUUCAUCGACAAAAGUAAUUAAUAAACAAAGUAUACCUAAAGGGACCAAAACUAGUAAAUAAGCAUAACAAAACGUAGUUGGGAAAUGAUCAUGAAACCUCACUAAAGACGUGAGCAUAUUUUUUCAGCAAGAAUCUGAACUGUUUUUUCUAUGUGGUAAGAUAUUAAUUCAUUUUAUUCGACCACUAGCAUGCAAUUUUGAUUUUUUUAUUUUACUUAAUUCAUAAUUUUGAACCCCUAUAAAAAUAAAAUAGAAAUAUUUGAUAAUUUUUUUUCAAUUUUUUUUUGGUUCAACGUCAUGAGCUUAACCGUUGAUUAGAAAAUGUUGAUCACUAAAUUGUUUACACAACACUAUAAUAUUAAAUUUUUAAUUAGAUUCUUAGGUGAUUUAAAGCGAUUUUAAAUAAUUUAUAGUUUUUAAUUAAAUGAAAAAAAAAUAUAAUUUUAGUUCCUUACUUUCUUGUCAAAUUUUGUUUUAGUUUCUAUAAUUGAUCAAUUUGAUUUUUGUAUUUUAAAAAAUAAUUUUACUUAAUCUCUGUGCAUUGAUGACCAAUGGAUCAAAUAGAGAUUAAAUCUAUUUAUUUUUUUAAAAAUAGAGAUCAAAUUGAUCAAUUUAAACCUACACAAACUAAAACAAAGUUUGACCGAAAAUAUAUAUUAUAGUAUUCAUAAAAAAACCUAAUAUUACAAUAUCAUGUCAGUGAUUAGUGAUUAAUGUUUUAAAAAUUAAUGGUUGAAUAAAAAAAAUUAUCUUGAAAAUAGAGGAACUAAGUAUUUCUAUAUUUUUAUAGGAGACCAAAAUUACUAAUACAUGAAAAUUAUAUUUUGACCUAAUAUUUGAAGAGCUGUGAUAUGAAUCAAUGGCCUAGGAACUUUAUUUUGGCUAUGAUCCAAGCUAAUAAAGGCUUUGAAAAAAAAAUGAGAAUCUCCUAGGAAAAGAACAAAAAGGGGUGGCCAUAUACCCAUGUUGUAUCUAGCUAGGUGGGGAACAUGGAGUGUUUCGGACCAUUUGCAUUGAUCGGGUCUUUUCCUUUUUAAUAAGUGAAAAUGGUAAGCACUGCACAAACUGAUCAAGAUAUGCUUCAUUGCGAUUGUGCCGAGUGUCUUCGGGUAUUACAAAUUUGAUAUUUUCAAAAUCAAACCUAUCAUUCAACUGGAGAAAUUAUUGGUUGACAGUAACCUUAAUAUCAUCCUCUGGUAUUGGUAACCACAGUGCAAUUAGGAAAUUAUUUUAAGUUAGUCUUAUCAUGAAUCUCUAGCAAAACUAUACAACGAAAUUAGAUAGAGCAGCAACUUAGUAUUGCUCACUGUCACAGUCAUGGGCACUACUAACAAUGUAAUUUGUACCACCCACAUAUCAUAUAUUGUGAUCAGUGUUGGUAUUUCCAGGUGUGCCAAUUAAUGAAAUUUAAUUUUAUUCAUGAAGAUGUCUAGAUCAUCAGCAAUCGGCCGGUGCAAGAGUUAAUGUAGAAGGCAGUGUCAAAACUUCAACAAGCACCAUAAUGCGCUAAGGACAUCUCCGGGAGUUAUGGACCAUCACACAAAGUUGUCUAUCUAAUUUGUACCAAUCUUUCUUUUCAGUGUCUUGUUUCCUUUUAUUCUUUGAUUUGAUGAUAAACAUGAAGACGGCAUUUCUUUUUCCCAUCUUCAAUCUUUCAAUGUUUCCUUUUUGUUGUAAUUGAAAAUCUGUAUAUGUAAUUUAAUUUGAUUUGAUUGAAGGGCUAUGCUAUUUAAUCAGAAUACGUAUGUCCGGAUGCAUAUAUAUAGGAUAGGUAAUUAUUAAUAGUGAGUCCUGUCUAUAGGGCUCACUCAGAUGAGACUUACCCCUUUGUUUACCUGAAAUCUAUACAGACAUGUACAUCCUGAAAAGGAUUUUUCUCCCCAUCGAUUACCACUUUAUGUGAUUACUAUUCUCUCAAUAAAUCUUAUGCGUGUGAUUCAAUCUUUAAAUAUUACAGCCACUUUAUAUAAUUCUUUUGUCCAUUUGGAUAUUAUGUUGUUGAGAUAAUUACUAAUUAAUACUUACAUAUGCCACAAUCUAACCUAAUCAUUACUCUUGAGAUAUGAAUUUGGAGUUUGUCUACUUUGAUGUCCUAUGUUAGGUAGUUCAAAAAAAUUAUGGUUUCGUACAUACAGAGGAAUUAAAAGGGGAAAAAGAAGAAGAAGAAACACAUCAUUUAGUUAAUCAGAAGCAAUUGAAGUGUUAAAUUCUUUUCAGUGAAGCUAACCCUUCAGCACUAAGCGAAAUGUAAUAUAUGUAUCACUUUUAUUAAAAGGUAACUGCUUGUAUGUUGGGGGUCAGGCAUGAUUAUAACCAUUUGUCAAUUCAUGCAUGGACAUGUACUCUCAAACCUGACAUUGUUUUGAGCUGAAAAUUUGUAAACAGGGGUCAGAGGUAUCUCUGGUGCUACUUACAUUUCAUACUAAUUCAAGCAAACUUUUAAAAGAGUCUUAAACUAAUUAACAAUUACUUUUUCUUACAAAUUAUGCUGACCAUGAAUUCUAUCUCAACAACAAUAAUUACAAGCAAUUUAUACUGCAUCACUAAGGCACAUACACAGAUCAGGCUCAAAAUAACCCCAUUCAAAAUUACCAAAAAAAAAACUAUACCUGAUCAUUAAAAUAUCAAAUCAUACACUGUGGUUCAUUAUUACUUUUUUAUCCAGUUAAUUUAUUUAUUACUUUAUUCUUAUUAAUUAUGUUGGGGCCUCCAAAUAGAAUAUAUACAUAUAUAUGUUUUAUCAUUUUCCUGUGCCAAACAGCACUCAUAACCAAGUUGAUUAAAUUAUUGUUAUUAAUAAAUUAUAGAUAAAACUUAGAUAUAAUUCUUUACAGAUUUUUGGUUUUAAGAAUUAAAGUUUUAUCUCAACGAUCUAUGUUAGCAUCUAAUGAAAUCUUUAUUAUGUUGAGUAUUAAAAUAAAACUCCAAUUCUUAUUAAAAAAAAACAACAUUAAAAGUACUUAAAGAAUUAUAUCUAAAUUUUAUCCUUUUAAUAAUUAAUGAAGACAAAUCCUAAAAAUCAAGCAGCAUUUGGACUAUAAGCACCAGGUCGCCGACUAAUGAGUAGGGUAUUUCUAGUCGGCUCCCACUGGAUUAGACAAAAUCAAGAAAAGAGGGUCCAACGCAAAACCAUUACCAAAGUGACAAUAAUGCCUAUUGUGAAAAAUGAUGAUUGGUGUGAUUGUAUUAUUGAUGAUUCCAUAUCCUAUAUAAUUACCCAAGCAGCAUCUCUUUUCCCAUCUAGUGAAACAUGUACGUAUAGUGUAAAAACAACGUAAAAGGUAGAAAUACAAAUACGAGAAAGAGAUGGAGGAGGAGAAGAAAAGCACCUUCAAAGGCCCCACAUUCUGUCCUCUCAAAAGACCACAAGACGUGAUUUUCAUCUUUCUCCACUGCACCAACACAUUCUUUCGCCUCAUUCCUUCUCUCACUCACCCUCUUAUUUCUUCCCAAAACUCCAUAUACAUCCAUAUCUCUAUAGCCAUUAAUUCUUCUACCAUAGCACACAGUUACCAAACCAAAACAUGUCUACUCAAAUUCAAAAUGGUUCUUCCUCCUCAUCACAACAACCACUGAGUCGCUAUGAGUCACAAAAGCGGCGAGACUGGAACACCUUUGGACAGUACCUGAGGAAUCAGAGUCCCCCAGUUCCACUCUCUCAGUGCAACUUCAACCAUGUGUUGGAUUUCCUUCGGUACCUCGAUCAAUUUGGGAAAACCAAGGUCCACUUGCACGGUUGCAUCUUCUUUGGCCAGCCCACCCCUCCUGCACCCUGUGCCUGCCCUCUCAGGCAAGCAUGGGGUAGCCUCGAUGCCCUCAUAGGCCGGCUUCGCGCUGCCUAUGAGGAGCAUGGCGGAUCGCCAGAGACUAAUCCCUUUGGAGGAGGAGCCAUUCGGGUGUACCUGCGUGAGGUCAAGGAGUGUCAGGCAAAGGCUAGAGGGAUCCCAUAUAAGAAGAAGAAGAAGAAGAGAAACCCAAUUCUCAAGGGGACUCAAAGAGCUAAAGAUAUCGAGCAACAAGCUUCUUGAGAUGAUAUAUAUCUAUAUAUAUAUAUAUAUAUAUAUGAUAUGAACGGUAAAUUUUUCAUAUUAUAUAUGGUGCACAUAAUUGUUGCUCCAAUUUAUAUAUGUUUAAUUUUUAUUCAUGCAAAGCAUCAACCCUUUGAAUUGCUUGAAUUACAAACUAACUCGCAACUUGUAUAUUAGAAUAAUAUCCAUUAAUAUAUAUAUAUAUAUAGAGAGAGAGAGAGAGAGAAAACAGAUUAUUGAGAAAUUGGAAGCUUUUAUAACUAAAUAGGCUAAAAAAAUCGUCAAUUAAGUGUGUUUGGAGAUGUCAUUUGUAGCUUACAAAACCCUAGAAGCAGAAUAAGAACCCUAAUAUUUCAUUGUCGAUUGGAAAAAGGUUUGGCUGAAGAAUAUUUUACUGGCUAAGGCUAAGAGUAAUGAUGAGACUAGAAAGAAUAGUGUUUCUCUCAUCCCUCCUCUUUCUUUCUCUCUCCUAUCAUUCAAAACACUGUUAUUGCAGUUUCCUAAUUAAAUACUAUCAGGUGUUUUCUUUAUGCUAAAUUUGGGCCUUUUGUGAUUCUGCGAGAUUUCUUGUGCUCCCCAUGGAUGUGUGAGCUUGAUCUAUAUAUCAUACGUUGCAUGUGAUUACAUACACAACCUGACGUUGCUAUAGAGAUCGAUCAUAACAUAUUGGAAGAAUUGGAAGUCUUUCACUUCACAUGUUGUAAUUUUAAAGAAAUACAUAUUUUUAUUAAUAACUAACAAUUGUCCUUCAACUAUUUGUAUAUGUGUAUUUGUGGUCCAUAGAAAGUCUUCUAACAUUAAAUUCAUGGUUUAACGAGAAAAAAACUUAAUUAUUUUUCCACAUGAAGGUCUAUUUAAUCAAUGUUAGUCAUUCUUUUAUUAAUGCUUAUUUUUGUUUAUGCAUGUGAAGAGACAAGGGGCCUUGGACAUACCCUUUUUGUUUGUCUCGUGACUUUCUCUAGCUAAAUUGUUAUAUACUUAUUGUCUCUUAUUAGUGGAAGCUGACUCCACUUUAUCACAGUUAUCUAAUAAUGUCUGUAUUUCUUAUUCUUGUGAUAUAAUAGAGCUAAAAAAAAUGUAAAAAUAAAUAUUUUCUAAAAGAAGAAAAUUAAAGUAGAGAAAGUGAAAUGGUAGAUUUGUUUUAUAUAUUAAAUAAAAGAAAAAACAAAAUUCUAUAGAUAGAUAAAUAGCUAGAUUACUGAUCACUUAAACUUACCUGAGUUGUUGUGGCGGGAAGGAUUUGAUAUUCGAGUCUAGUGUUUAUAUAUGUUUAAGCUUUAGUGCCUGUGUGUACGUGGAUAUACCAACAAAGGCUUCAAUAAUUUGUUGGCCCUACCAGAAAAUACAUAACUGAAAGUGUUUUUCAUAUCAUCAAAUCAACAAUUCUAGCAGCAAAUACAUCAAAUUGGAUCAUGUUGCAGUGAGAUAGAAUAAGCUUCCAACCAAGCAUCAAUACAUACUUGCUUUCAUCCACCAAUCUUCCACCAUAUUCUCUUCUUAAUUUUUCAUUCACUACAAAGGGGUAUUAACAAGUUUUUAGCCAUUCAUAUAUACCAAACUUCUUCAACAUAUUUGUUUUAAGCAUAUCUCUUUUGACUAAUGAAAACACCAUUUUCAUCUUGAUAAACCCCAAUACCAAGAAAGUGUUGUAGCAAGCCAAAAUAAGUUAUCUUAUACUUUUUUGUCAUCUCUAUUUUGAAAUUCUCAAUCAUUUUCAUGCUAUUACAUGUAUACACCAGAUCAUCAAUAUAAAGUGCUAUAAGAAGAAUGUCAUUAUUACCUUGAUACUUGACAUGCAAAGUAGGCUCACUCAUGCUUCUUUGGAAUUUUUUCUUAAUGAAGUACCUGUCAAUUUUACUAUACCAUGCUCUUGGUGCUUUAUUUCAUCUCAUAAAAUUUAUAUUUAUUUAUAGACAUUUUCCUCUUAGCCUUCAAUGACAAAGCCUUGAGGUUGUGCAUAUAGGCUAUAAAUUACUGUUAAUUUGGCUCUAGUUUUUUUGAAAGAAGAACAAGUGGAGGAGGAGAAACAUAUAUACAUAUCCUUUAAAAAUGGUUGCCAUGCUUGUCAAAAAUACAUAUCCUUCAUACACACUAGAUUUUCUCAAAUUGUAAGCUAACCAUACACCAUCUUUUGAGAAAGCAACUUGAGGCUAUUGUGGUUCAAGUGCCCUAGUCUUUUGCAUGUGCCACAAACUAGAGUCAUUUAAUUACUUCUUUUGUCAUCAAGAUGAAUUUUUUCUCAUAAUUAAAGGAGAGAAGAAAACUCCUGCUCUUGCAACUUUUACAAUAGUAACAACUCUUGUUUUUUAAUUUAAAAAAUUGCACUCUUGAUCUUUGUCUUUUUACCAUAAAAACUCAUCCAGUUUAUUCCUACAACUCCCGUUUGUCCCCAUUUUUAGUUUAUUAGGAGACCUAGAAACCAACUCCCACACAUCAUUUCUAACAAAUUGAUUGAGUUACUCUUGCGUAAACUACCAUGCAAAAAUCAUCAAUAGUAGUCUCAUCCAUAAAUUUAGGCUCAAUUUGAGAAACAAAACGCAUAAUGACAAACAUUUCUAAGAGAAGAUCGAAUAGAAACUCUCUUAGAAAUUUCUCCAAUGUUGUUAUCUAAUGGAUUAUUCUUCAUUUUUCUCCAUUCCUUGGGUGUAUGCAUCUUAUUUUUCACAAAUUUUCAUCUUCCUUCAAGAUUUUUCUUCCUUUCAUCAAUGUCUACCUCACAAAUUUAAAAGUUUUCUUCUACAGGUCCAAAACUCUAAAAAUGAAAAAAAAAACAUCAAUAAUAAGAUCCAAAGCUCUACAUUCAUGUUCUAUGAUUCAUGAAUGUGAACCCUAUUUUCAUCUCAAAUUUAAUGUUUGUGUGUGUGUAUUUGUCAAAAAUAGAGACCUCUCUACUUCUGUGUGUCUCUGAACAAGAAGUCUGAAGCCUUUUUUGUAAAUAAAUAAAAAAAAAGACAUCUCGCUACUUCCUGCACACACACGUGUGUGUGUGUGAGCCUUGAAUUUUGGCCUUUUUGGCAUUCUAUAUAUUAUGUCCAUGCUGGUAUUUUUCAUGAUUCAAGAACAUGAAUUCUGACACCACUUUUUUUUUGUGUCAAAAGUAAAGAAUAGUCACAUUUGUCUCAUUACAUUGAAUAUUGUGUUUUGAUUUAAUUUGUAACACACAAAUUUCAGAGUGAAAUUUGUUUUGGAACUUGAAACUUCAGUUACCAUCAUGCAUAGAAAGAAAUUACUCAUGCAUGUUUCGUAUGCAUGAUAUAUCAAAAUGAUUUAUUUUUUUCUUUUUCGAAAGGGUUAAUUUUAUUGCUUUAACAAGUCACUUUGCUGAAUAUUCUUUGCAUGCAGGGCCAUAUACGAGCGAGUUAAUUGGAUAUAGCAGAUUUGGCACUUUGAAAAAAGAGCAUCUCAGCUGCUUGGACCAAAAAUUGUUACAGAAAAUCAGUGAUAUUUCACUAAGUAGUUCAGAACAGAAAAAUCCUUUUAGGCCCAUUUACUCGCAGUAAAUCUUAAAAUGCAUGUUAGAGAUGUACAACCUUGUAACUUCUUCUAACAUAUGAGACCUCUACUCCAAAAUAGAAACAACAAGAAUGGCUGGCUUUACAUUCUUGCAGUAGUUUUUCCUUAUAGUACUUUCAAGCAUUAUCAACUACGCAAAUAUAUCUAGGCAUUAUAUUGAAAGAGUUGGAAUUUACAUUAAUUUGGAUUAAUUAGUACGUUGUAGUAUGAUGUCUUAAUCUUGAUGUGAACUUCUUGGAUUUCAACUUGAUGCAUAUACUGCUGAAAAUAUUCAAUGUAAACUUAAUUAGCAGAGUUGCAAAAGUUGUGCUUUCCUUGAAACAAAUUGUUAAGUGGACGAUGGAGACUUGGGACACUACAAAAAAAAUGUCAUAUACUACCAGAAAAAAAUUGUUAGGUGUUAUGACUGCGUUUUUAUUUGCAUAGCCUUUGUCUAAUAAAAAUUAAAAUGAUAGUAUAUCUAGCUAACAGUGUAAUGUAUCAUUCGUAAAUGACAACACUAAACGAGCUGUAUCAAUGUAUCAAGCCAAAAAAGAUGGUUACAUAAUGCAUAUGAUGUAGUAGUUCUAUGACUACUAAUGAUGAUAUUUUUUUUCCAAAUAAUCCCCUUUUUGUUGGUAAUAUUAUAAUAUAUCUAAGAGAAGUUGGCAUGAGAAGGCAAGAAGCUUUUUGAGGGACAAGGUAUUUCACGAAACUUUUGCAAAGAUCAAAAUCGGUAGUUAGAGAUAACUACUAAUUCCGAAGGAACCUGUACGCAGAUGCAACUUAAUUAAAAAACAAGUGAGCUAUCCAAUUUCCAAACCCAUGCAUCUGCCCUUUCCUUAAAUAGGGAGAUUGAAUUUAAUAGGGACAUAAACUCCUUUAGUGAUUAGUCUUUUUCCUUGACGAAAAGCUCCCUUCUCCACCUCAAUUUACAAACCCGGAGAUCAUUUUAUUUUUCACCAUUCCCCCAUAUCUGCAAGGUACAACAUUUUUAUCUUUUGAAAUUUGAAAUAAUCUAGACAAGGAUUAUUUCAGAGUAAAAUUAGCCAAUUAUCAUGCCAGAACAAUCCAACCUUCUUUACACCCUGUUUUGGAACCAAUUCAGAGUAAUAUUAGGCCCAAACUCAAUGUUGCACUAGUCCUUACACCAAGAAGAUGAACUUUUAUGGUUCCAUAAAUUAAAAGAAUCUGGAGAAUCAAAAUUGCCAUACUUGAACUGGAGAAUUAAUAUUGUCCCACACUGUCUUUUUCAACAAGAAAACCUCCACUUCCAUUUACCAAAGAGGCUAGGCUGAUAUUAAACUUCUGCAGAUCUUAUAUCCCAAGGCCACCACACUCCUUAUGCUAACAGACAACUUUUUCCUAACUUAAUCAUGCUAUCUUUAUCUUAGACUUCUCAUAACAUCCACCCUGUAGAAAAUAUCUUCGAAUGCUAGAGUGUUAAGAAUCCUGUUAGGUACAUUAAUUAAGGUAUAUAAAGAUUCACUUUCUAUUAAAAUGUCAUAAUCGCUUCUUAUCUUUGAGUUAGACACGAAGAACUAAACUUCAACAUAUCAUACAUGAUGGCCAAGACAGGUAGUUUUGCUCUUCGUAUCUUUUCAAGCUAGCUAAUAUAAAAACUGUUUAUCCAAAAAAAAGUUAGUAUAAUAACUAAUUUUAACUUUUGUGCUACAUUAGAGGGGAGAUCAUCAUAUUAAAUGGCUGAGAUAUGUUAGAAUAUAUUUUUAUCGUAAGAAAAAAAAAUUAUAUGAAUUUUGGGAGUAAGCCCAAAUUUAUUUGAUGAGAUCCAUAUGAAAUUUACUUAAUCAAUAAAUAAUAAAGAUUAUGUUAAAAAAUGUGUUAAAAAAUAUCUAAAGAACAUAUAUGGGGUACUUGCUUAAAACAUUAACAAGAUUCUGCAAUCACUAAAAGUUCAUUUCUUUUUUAUGUCUGUUUUUAUAUUUUUUUUCUCCAGUUUCUAUUAGCUAAAGGUAAAAUAAAAAAAAAAAAUGACCGGGAUCCAAAUUUGAAAUUUUAUUUAUAUAGGAGUUCAAAAGUGUAGAGUGUCCAGUUGACAAUUCCGCCAUUAAAAUGAUUAGUUUAUUUAUAGAAAAAGAAAAAAAAUUCUAAACACAAUGUUAAUAGCAUUUGUCUAUGAGAAACGAAUAAAACUUGAAUUUGUAUCAAGGAUUAAAAGAAAGAUUUACUCAACAAAUUAUUAACUUGAUUGAUAUAGAAGACACGUGAGAAUGCAAAAUCCACCCUAUCUUUCGGGGUUCAAUUAUUUGUAUUUGUCGUUCAUAUCAGAAUACUAACCGCAUUUCAAUAGAUUCAAGAAUUCACAAUAAUAUCCCAAGAAAAAUCUUCAUUAUAUAUAAAUUGCAGAUACUUCGAAAAUCUGCAUAAAGAUAAUCUGUCAUCACUCCGUAAUCCCUAUCCUAUCCCUCUAAUUAGAUCUUUUGACAUAUAAAUUAAAAAUUUUAGGCAGGUUAUCAUCUGAAUUGGACGUCCCACCUUUUAAUCAAGUCAAUCCCAAGUAAAACUCGGAACAUUGGUUUUUUUUUUAAAGGUUAAUAUUAGUUGUUAAUUUGUUGAUUUUCACUAGUGAGAGAGAUUUGAAUCCACCAUUUUUUUUUAUCUUUUAACCAUCAAAUCAAAUUAGCUUUAUAACUCCAAACUUUGAAACUUGUGUCUUCCAAUUCAUUUUUCAUAUCAAAUUGUUCACUUGCUCUAUGUUGAUUAUAUUUUGUUCCAGCACCGACACCUCAUGCCAAUUCCAUAAGCUUCAAUAUUACUAACAAGAACUCGGGACUACUUUAUCAAAAGAAUUAGUUGUUUGAGAGCUCAAGAUUUUAUAAACUUGAAACUUCUCAUCAGCGAGAUAUAUCUAAUACAGUACUUAGGGGACUGUUUCAAAGGAAAGGAGACGAAGAGAGGAGAUAGAUUUUAAUUAGAUAUUUUGUUUGGUUGAAAAGAGAAUAGAGGAGGGAUUUUAAUGAAAAAAAGAAGAAAAUAAUAUGUGAUUUCAGUUUAGUUUAAAUACAUUAUUAAAUCUAAAUCAAAUCUAUUUUUACAGUUGGGUUCGGAUUAAUUUUGUAAUUUUUUUAAAUAUUAAUUUAUUUUUAUAUAAUUUAAAAAAUAAUUUUAAUCUAACAAUUAACAAAAAAAAAUUGACAUGAUGUAAAUUUUAAUAACUAAUUGAUAAUAACUAUAUUAUGAAUCUCUUAUGAAAAGAAGUAUAUUACAAAUUAUUCAUACACAAUUAGUUAUAUGUUGUCAAAAUGUCCUUAUAGUAUAGGGUUAUGAGACUUUAAAGUUUAAAUAGGAGCAUAAGAGAAAAAUUAACAUAAUCAACAUGAAGUUUGAUUUGGUUUAGUUUUUACGAAUGCAAAUUGAAAAGCGAAUUAAACUGUGAUAAAAAAAAGCAAUUUUUUUUAAUUUUCAGUUUGGUCGAUUUUGAUUUUUUUUGUUUUAUAAUAAUUUAAAAUGAUUUAAUUUGAUUUUGAAUACCUCUAAUAAGAGGAGGUAUUUUAGUGAUUAUAUUUCAAUAAUAAGUCAUUGAAAUUAUAUUAAUUAACUAAUAAUGUUCUACAAAGUUGAUAGGUACGUAGCUAAGAUUUUUAAACAUAUAGGAGUUUGAUUCUUAACUAUGUGAUAUGUGAGUGAAGAAUAUUUUGUUUAAAAAGAUAAAAUUCAUUUAGAUAAUUUCUAUAUGUUAAGAUAAAUUAAUAUUUAAAAAUCCAUUUAAAAAUAUUAUAUAUAUAUAUAUAUAUAUAUAUAUAUAUAUAUAUAUAUAUAUAUAUGACGUAUCAUAUGUGAGAAUAGGAAUAAUUAAUUUUAACUAUUAUAUUAAAAUGAAAAAUCAAAAUUAAAAUAUUUUAAAUUCAAAUUACAAUUUUAUUUAUCCAUAAAAUCUCUAAAAUAUUCAUCAAACAAAAAAUUAAAUAUCUUAAAAAUUUAAUUUAUGUUAUUUUAAAAUAUUUUAAAUUUAUCACCAACAUGACCAUCAUCAUCAUUAUAAUCAUUUUCGUUACAAUUGUCAUGAUGAUCACCAUAAUUAUCAUUAUUGCAAUCAUUAUUGUGAUUGUUGUGUCAUCCUAUAUUAAAUCUUUUUACGGGACAUUUAGGUAAUGAAAUUAGGAAUGUAGUUAGUUAUCUUAAUGUUGAUGGGAUCAUGGCUGCUAAAUUUUUAUAUUUUCUUCAUUUUCGUAUAUGUUUUUUUGUGUGUGUGUGUUCUUAAGAGACAAUAAAUUUUGAUUUUAGUUUGUGUUUAGUUCAUAUAUACCACCAUUAAAUUUAGUACAACUGUUAAACCUGACCAUAUACAUAUUGUAAAGCAAAUUUAAGUAUAACUUAAUUAGUUUGAGUUACGAAGAAACAAAACUCCAUGGUAUGAUCCAUCGCCUUAGUUGGUGGAAGUAUUUAUUUAAAAAAUAUAUAUUUAUAGAUUAUUAGUGGCAUGAUACUGGAAAUUGUUAUAUGAACAUGUUUUAUUUCAUUCAUUACUCACAAGAUAUGUGACAAGAUUAGAAAUUAGUCUUUAUCUUGAUUAUGAUAUAAGAAGACCUAUAGUCUGAGUUUUUAAAGCACACACUAUCCGCUUGCCUUUCUCACCUUAUAGCUUUAAAUUAAAGUAUGACAUAUUAUUUCUUGAAGGGGCAGUUGGUUGUGUAUCAAUGAGGUGGCUUUGCUUUUUGAUCCAAGUGGUUGGUGGUGUAGCUAAUUCCUUUGAGAAUGAGGGAGAAAAUAAGUAGGGUAGAAAGAAGAAGGACUAUAGGAGAAAGGAUAAAAUGAGUAAGAAAUUGGUAGAAUUUUAAGGGUUUUGUAGAUUGAAAUAAUUAAAAGAGAAGUAAAAUAGAAAGAAAAAAAGUUUAGUUUUCUCUUUACAUGUUUUGUUGGAUAAAAAAUUGAAGACAAAGAAAAUGAAGUUUUCUUGUAAAAAUACAUUUUAUUAAUAAUAUAUGUAAAUUUUGAGGAAGCUAGUGGUAGAGAAUAAUCAACAACAUUAAAAUUAUAAUUUUGAGUGGGUUUCACAUACAAUUCGUUAUCUUCUUGCAAAAGGAGAUUUAAUUUUUUUUUUUGGUCUUAUGCUUUGUUUUUUCUUUUCUCUAUUUCUCUCCCUAAUAAAACAACAAAAAUAUUCUUUGAGUUUGAAGGAUGGUAAUAACACAUUGUUUCUAAUUAUUAGAAUUUAUUAAAAAAUACUCAUUAAUUAAAUAACAAGUGAUAAAACUAAAAAAAUAUAUUUUUACACUAAAUUCCAACUAAUCAUAGAUACAAAGUGUGAUUAAAAGAAUAUAUAAAUAUAUUAAAGAGUAGUAUAUUGUUAGCUUUUUUCAUACAUUUUUUUUUCUCUUCUAAAAUUUUAUGUAACCAACGGAGUCACAGCAUUGUCGUGAUUUAUUUGUUCUCAUGUCAAUUUAUUUCUAUAUAAGAAAAAGCACGAUAACUGAUAACUGCCAGAUAGAUAAAUACUCUAGCAUAAAAUUUUAGUAAUAAAUUUUCUGGUUAGGAGAACAUGAAAAUGCUUACUUUCACCAGAACCACACUGACGACACUGACAUAUCAUGAGAUGAACAGAAAAAAUUCUUUUAGUCGAUCAAAGAUUUAAUUGUCGACUUCAAAAAAAACAAAAAUUUAAUUGUCGCACAACGUUUUCCAGUGGUAUAUAAUAACAAUAAUUUAGAAAAGUUUAUAUUAUUAAUCUACAUUUUAACUUACUACUCUGGAAAAAAACACUCAGCAAAAAAAAAAAAACUUACUACUCUGCAUAACUUUUGUAAACUAGAUAUCUACUGGCACCUGAAUUGGGCCAUAUUACAUUGCAAUUCAUUUAUACACUAACUACUUUGUCUACAUUUUAUUGGCCACUGAUGGUGGAACAUUCAAGUAAAAAAAAAGCCCAUAAAUGCUCUUGGAAAAAAAAAAGGAAAAUCAAAAUUAAGAAUCAGAACCAGAAAUAAACUAGAAUAGAGUCUUUGCUCAAGGCCCAUGCCAUCCAGCCAAUCCCAGACGUCAAGCUCUCCUGUGUUAAUAACCUUUGCAGAUGCCAUUGCCACUAACCAAACCAGUUUCCCAUUCAUAACCAUACCCAAAAGAAUAAAAUGCUUAAACUAAAGCCAUAUCCCGCUCAUUUAUGCAAACUUAGCAUAACAGUGCAUUAUUAGAAUAUUAUUGGAAAGCAAUGUGGGGACUUUCAAUUCUUUUUACCACAAAUUUAUCUCUUUGGCCUUUUCUUCAUCUAACCUCACCUUUCCCUUUACUUCUUUAAUUUUUUUUCUUCUCUCACUUGUUUGCAGUGGGGUGAAGUACAACAUGGCUUUGCACUGCAUAGAUUAGACACUCAUGAAUGAAUUUGUCCUCCUCCAUUUGGGGGUCCAAAAGAAUUUUUUCUUUUUUCCCACUUCAGAAAAAAAGGGUAAAAUUAUCAACUUCAAUUAAUUCUAUUAUGAAUUUAUGAUCAGCUCAGUGCUGUAUAGAAAGUGCUGUGUCAUUUUCCUAAGUGAAUCAAUAGAAAUAAUGGUAAAUAAAAAAACUCAAUUGCUAGCAAAAGCAUAAUAUCUAUCAUGUCGCAAUCACCUUCCGUUUUCAUCCAAUACAAAAUAAGGCAUGACAGUGCAACACUGUAGAAGUAGGAUCGUUCUAUCUGCAUCUCAAUCAUAGUUUAUCUUUGUAGCGUGUACUAUUCUAAAUUCCGAGCUUCAACAAUUUAAAGCAAAAAAAAUUGAAACCCAUUACAGAAUUCUUCUCUUGUUUCACCUCUUCUAGAAAAUUACAAAAUAUAACACCGUCUGAUCAAUUUCAUGCCCCACCAACUGUAAGUCUGUAACACGACCAUAAAAACUCAAAAUUCUGCUAUCAAAACCAAGGUUUUAAAUUGUCGUCACAUUAAAACUCUGAUCUUUGAUAUUACAAAAAAUUAAAUGUAGUCGAUACAGAAAAUUAUACAACCACAGAAAUCUAAAAAAAAUUAUUGACAAAUGUUAAUUGUUAGUUUUUCUUUUUUCUUAACCACUCAAUCAACCUUAUAUCUCCUGAAACCUCAAAAACCUUGAAGUUGUGUCACUGACCAUUUAAUAAAACCUUGAUGAAAACAUACCCUAUGGUGGUCUAAUAUAACUUAAACUCUCCAACUGGUUAAUUACAAACCUCAUAUUAUAUGGACAACCCUAUGUACACAGCAACCUUUGCAGAAGAAGCAGAGUAAAACAUUGAAAAAAAAGGAAAUAUUAUUUAUUUUCUCUCUACAUAUUUUGAAAAAAUGGAGUUGGAAGCCUAUAAUAUGAGGAUUAUAAUAUAAACUAUAUGGACAUGACAUGACCCUUAGGCAAAGGCUGUGAUUUGUGAAUAAAAAAGAAAGAAGAAGAAUUGUUACGGAUCAGAAGGUGACUCAUAAAUGCUCUCCAAGUGAGGCCUCCACACAGCAACACGCCCUCUUCUUCUGUCUCUUUGACUUGACACCUUCUCUGAGAGUAUAUCAUUCAAGUAGCGAUCAGAGACAAGCAAGCUAGUCAUAGACGUAAUCAUGGACGCGUUGUUGGUGUUGUUCAUAGUUCUCUCUCUAUGUUCCUUCCUCUUCUUCUUUCUCUGCCGGUUCUUCUUCUCUUGUGUAGGAGGAGUAGGAGGGAGUGGCAUGAGGAAGUAAAUCUUGCCACGUUGGAGCUCAGCGUCGGGUGGCACCACCACGAUCUUGUGGACCCCGCCGCUGAUGCCGGCGGCAUCGGCGGGGGAAGAGCAUGGCUUCUUGAGGACAUGUUUGGGGUGUGCCUUCAUGACAUCACUGGCCUUGACGGUGCCGCUGAUUUCUUCUACUCUGCCAUUGGAGUGCACUAUGCGGAUCACGUCGAGAGCCCCACAUGGGAAGAUGCAAGAGAUGCAGCACCUUAUGCAAUUUCUCAUGGCUUUUUCUCCCUUCCCUUUUUUAGCAUUGGUGUCUGUCUUGAGGAGAGAGUAAAUAAUAUACUGUGGGGGAGGAAACGGAUUUGGCUCUUUCUUUUCAGACUUGAGAUUUAUUAUCUUUGCUCCUUUCUCUGUUUUUUGCUAAUCUUUAAUUAGAGAGGGGGCAAAUUCGAUCGUAUAAAUUAAUUGUGCAUCAAUAUGAUCCAUCUUUUAAAGGGAAAAAUAUUUGGUUGUUAAUUAACUUCUGGAAUCAUGAUAUUUUUUUACUACUACAUGAAUCUAUAAAUUAAAAAAUAUGUAUACAUAUUUAUGUAUAUACAUAUCUGGGUGCUUUAUAAAAAAUUCAUUGUAUUGAGUCUUGUACCUGACCAUGAUCAAGUUAGUUCUUACUUACCAUUCCAAAUAUACUUAUAAAAAUAUCCAUAAAUUAUACUCAUCAAUGACAUCUCAUAUUCACUAUAGAAUUCAAACUCAUGAACACAUGAGAUAUGAAUUGUAUUUGUAUCUUUAUAUACUAUUAAAAGAGAAUAUUUAUGAUUAAAUUAAGAUAUUUUAAAUAAAAAUUAAUAGAAAAUACUAAGUGUGCAGAUUAUGUUUUAGAUAGAAUAUGGUUAAGAAAACUCACAGAAAUAAAAAUAUUCUAAUCUGAUAAAUAAGAAUUAUAUAUAUACUAUAAAAGAUUUCCCCCUAUUUUUCAAAUUUGUUAAUUUUUGGUUUGCUGCUUUUGAAUAGGUGGGAGGAAUAUUUUCGGUGCUAGGUUAGGAGGAGAUUCAUGGUGUGAAUAAUUGCAUAACACCCUGUAGUUUGGCUUUUGAUACAUAAUUUAGGGACCCUACCCCACCCUCAUCCCUCGAGCUAACAGUCUCUUCCCUUUAUUGAGUUCAAUAAUAUUAGGUUGGGAGGACUGAAAGAUUGGGAUACUAAUGGUAUAUUGAACGAUGGGACUUCUCAGCAAUCAAAAACUUAGGACCCAUUUUGAAUGCGUCAUGUAAAGACAUACGUGUCUCGAUAAAAAGUUGACACUUGUAGACCCCUGAAUGAAUACUAUUGAUUAUUAUUUAUUUAUUUAACGCUUAAGUUUGGUUGAGAAAGGGUGGUAAAGUAGGGUCAGUCAAUGAGAGAAAGAGAAUGUGUUUUGUUUGGAGUGAAAUUUGGGGUAUGAGCGCUGGGAAAUGGGGUACAGCGUAGAGGAUGGAGGAGAUAGAUCUUCUUUUAAGAGGAGAGUUUGUGAUCGUUCAAUAUCCCCAAGCAAGACCAUGUGGAUUGUGGUUUUCAUUGGAAAGUGAAGUGUAAUAUGGCUUUUAUGUUUGUGAAGUGCUUUGACUAUGGCCAAUGUGUUAAUUUGUCUGCUAGCCACAUCUUCAAGAGCAACCCUUCCAAAAUGCUUUUAUCCGUUUCCUUUUCUUUCUUUUCAUACAUGGAAUUUCACCACUUUUGCCAUCUAUCAUACAUUAUACAUUGAAUUAAAGUCAAGUACACCUACUCUUCUAUUCUGUCCGUUAGUACCAUUACCAUAUUGAUAUUGAUGAGGUAAUGAUGGUAAGGCAUAAACAUUAUCUGUACAGUAGUGCAAAACUCUCUUUGGGGCCAAAGCUUCACAAUCACUAAUAAUCACUUUCUUAGAAAGAUAAUGAGAUAAUGAUUAUUAGGUAUUGUCUACACAGAUUGUCACUCUAUAUAUAAUGACUUAUAUGGGAUUCAUGCAAAAUUUAAUGACACGGUUCAAAUCAAAAUUAUGACAGUACCACCUAUCUACCUCAGAAAGAUACCUAAUAUCUCUACUAGUAGACUACUGUACGACAAGAGAUGUUACUCUCAUUUCCUAAUUGUUCAAAGUUUAUAAAUUAUAAGCGUUAAGAUUUCAACUUCAAAUAUCAUAGUUCUCUUUUAAAGAUACUCAACUAACUGAAACUGAAACUGAAUGAGACAGGCACACUCACCAACACGUUAUUUUUGUCAUGAAUGUCGCCAAAUUGGCAUUGGAUGGUGUAGUUUUAUUCCUUGUUAUGUAAAGAGUGGUAGCUCAAACUUCAAAGAGGCUUUUAAGUAAAAAAACAAAAAAACAAAAAUUCAAAAGUAAGAUAAUGACAUCCAAGAAAGUGAUUUGUUCUAAUCUAUUAGGGGAAGCUAGGAAUUAGUGUAGGGGUGAUUGAUGAUAUGAUUUAGUAUAUGUCUUGUUGCGUUAUGGAACUUUUUAUUUGAUAGCAAUUAGCCAAGCCUUGUGAGAAUUUGCCAAAAGAAGAGAUGCAGUUAAAAGUAUUUAAAUGCCCGUUAAUUUGAGUUAUAUCACAUUCAUAAUGUGGCCCGCUCUUUAAAUAGCUAGGUGCAGAUGCAGAUGUUAGUGGGCAUCAUGUGAGGCACUGAGAGGGAGGGUCCAAAGCUGGGCUUUGAUAUUCUAUUUGCUCUGUAUCAUCCAAAUUUAGAUGCCAAGUUAACUUUGUUUUAUUAUGCGGAUAAGACUGACUUAAGAGAUUAACAUAUUCCCUCGUGAGUUGAGACGAGUUCUAUUCCCCACGCAGCACUCGCAUUCUUCUUCUUUUUUCUUUUCUUUUUUUUCCUUUUUUGUUGAAAAAAUAUAAGUUAUGUUUGUACAAUGUAGGAACCCACCACAUCCUUAUUGGAGAUCCUGAGUGACAGUUGAAGGGAGUAGUUACCGAGUUGGUGAGCUUCCUCAUCUUAUUUACAAGAUAAGUAUUCUAACACAAUAUAAUAUACAUCUCAAUCUAAACUAACUGGAGUGUUAAAGUUUUAUUGUAGGUAUUAUUAAUAUCACCAUUCACCACAUGUCCAAGUCUUAGUUAUGUUCUGUAAUCAUUGUAGGGAUGGACAUAGUAUAUCUUGGAAGACUUGCAUCACGUAGAUAAGUUAAUCUCUCCAUUAACAAAAUAGUCUCUGGAAGGGUAGUCUUUCAUUCAAUUAAGUUGAUCCGUCCAUUAAGUCUUUUUACAAUAACUUUAACAUCAUGCGUGACACAUUUGUAUCGUCUAUGUAUACAAAAGACUAUUUUAAAGAGUUUGAGGUUAAAUAUCAAAAGUUAUAAAUUCUUUAAUUUAGUCACUAAACUUAUUGUCAAUUUCACAUCUACUGUCAUACGAAAUUAAAAAACUAUUCCUUGGAAUUCACAAUUAAUAUUCACUGUGUAAUAACGCUGCUAUAAUUUGGUUCAUACUAGUCUACAUAAUCCUAAUGAUUGAAUUGCAGAAAUUUGUUAAAACAAGAAAACAAACUAACAAAGAAUCCAGAGCUGUUAUAAAUUGCUAACCUAUGUCAAAAGGAGUCUCCUCCAUUAUGUCAAUGUGACAGGAUAACAAAAAAGCAGUACACAUUUACAUAAAGCAUCUUUUGUCCAAAAAAAUUGCAGUAUUGCUCUCUGUUUGCAAUGAUUUUACAAAUAAGCUGAAGAGAUAAAGGAAAAGGGAAGACGUAAAUAAAUUAUCCGUUUUUUAUUAGUUAUGUUUUUCUUUUGGACUUUUCUGUGAACCCAAUCCUAGGAUUUUCUUUUCGGGACCAAUUUUCGUGUUUGUUGUUAAUGGGCUAGAUUUUAAUUUAUCCUAUUGAUUAGGUUUGGGCUUAUGAGAUUCCGUUUCAGCUUGGAGUUUUUCUAAAAUGGGCCGUGUGUUUCUUUUAAAUGAAUUUUAUUCUGCAGGUAAUUUGUUUCCUAAAAUUAAUUUUAAACGUAUGAAUGAUAAAAAUAAAAUAAAAAUAAUAAAAUAUGAGAAUAAAUAGAAAAAUGUUAAAAAUAAAAAAAUAGAAAAUAAAAUAAAAGUGCAAAUAAGAAUAAAAAAUAUGAAUUUUCGAGUUUGAAAUAAAAGAGAAAAAAUACUCAUUUUGUAUCGUUUUAUUAUAAACAAAAGUAAGAAGAAAGAAAAUGUAAUUACAAUAAAUAAUAUUUACAUCAUUUUAAUAUAAUGAUGGUAGGUAAUUAAAUGAGUAAAUUUUUUAUUCUAAUGAAAUUUUCUUUCUGCUUCAUUUUCUGUCUCACAAAAUAGUUUUUUUUUAGUUUCACUUUUUUUAUUUCCCCCUCGUCUCCUUUCCCGAAUCUAGUGAUGGAUAUUGUCAUUUUCCUUCUUUCCAUUUAUUUUAUUUCCAUUCAUUUUAAUGUCAACCAACCCUCAUAGUGUAUUUUUUUUUUAUUUGUUUACGUCAAUGUAAACAGAAAAUAUAACCUAAAAGAAAGUGGACUAGUUCAAUUAAUCUUGCUUGCACAAUGGAAAGAGUCACUGUUUAUCUCUCAUCAUUUUAUGUUAUUAUUUUCUACUGUUGGCAUAAGCAGUGCACAAAUAAAUACAUGCAACAAAAACAUUCUAUGAAAAAAGAUAAUCUUUCUAACAUCAUCGUUCUUUUAAAGAAUGUUAUAUAUAUAUAUAUAUAUCUUGAUUUGUUUGGAUAGAUUGUUACUUAUGUAAGAAAGAAGUAUUGUUUCUUACAUACAAGAUAAUGUGAUAUGUUUCUACAUUUUCUUAGUAUCAAAUUGUUAACAUAUUUUUAUUUGACUUGGUUAUAUAGAAAUUAGAAUACUCAAUGAACUAUGUUUUUUGAAUUAAAAUACGCCGGCCGGAGAAUGAUGAAGCAUGCAUGUUGAAGAAAAAGGCAUGAAGCAAAGAAAAAACCAUCUGCUAAUAUUUUAAAUCACAUGCAAGAGAGGAGGCAUGGUUCCAUUUUCUACCUUCACAUUAUUUGAGAAAAACGAACUUGUUCUGUGUUUUAUUUUUGCCCUUCACAUUAGUACAACGUGGAAGACUCAUGGUUACACAGAAUCAUACAUAAGUACAAUGCUUGUCCCUAAGAAAACAAGCACUCGUUGUAUUGAACCUUUACGGCUCAAAGAGGAGAGUGAUCAACUCUUCGAUGACCUUUAACGCGAGCAGACACCAGUGUUUCUGAUUCCUCUUUGGUUGGGUAUGAAGCGAAAUAAUUCAUCCCACACACUCCUAAUAAAUUACCCGUGUUUCUUUGGAUCCAAAUGUAACCAUCUUCUCCCCAAUCUUCUCCCCAUGAAUUUUUCGCUAUCCAGUAAUCUACACCAUCCGCUGAACCAUAACCCACAAGUAAAACAAAGUGAUUAAUCCCAUACGGACUUGUACAGUUUUCUCCAUCAUAAAUUCCCUGCACAAAUUAAUUAAUGAAUUAACAACAAUAACAAUAAUACUAUAGAGUAUACUGUACAGUAAUAAUGAAUUGAUGAGGUUAAUUUGAUGAUCCGAAAAAGAAAGAAAUCAUGAUUUCGAAUCUUUUCCCACCAAAAUUGACCGAUAAAAAAAUAGUAUAAUAAUAAUAAUAAUAAUUCCCAAAUAGUAAGAUAUUACUUUACCCCGGUGUAUAAAUGAAAAUCUUUUGCAUCAAUGGAGACACUAAUUGGUUGCUCAAGGAUGGCGCUUAAGAACGCUUGCUCUGUCUCUGAUUCUGUACUCUCAUCUGACAUUAUUAGAGUUUCAUAUCCGUCAAUUGUAACCUUGUCUUGUAUCUACUCCCAGAAAAAAAAAAAAAAGUUGCACAAAAUUAAACAAAGAGAUGAAGGGUUAAAUUAAUUAAAAGGAAUCGCAUGCAUGCAUAUUAUUCAGUUAUAUAUUCACAGACCUUAUUGGCUUUGCAUCUACCCUCUUUAGCUCUGUAAGGAUAAUCAUCAUCAGUGGCAAUCCCACCAUGUUCUAAAACCCAUUCGAACGAUUGAUAGUGCCAUCCAUUGUAACAACCUUCGCUUUCUUCCACACAGUCUACGAGUUCUUGUUCAGAAAGGCUAACAAGGUCUCCUGUUGCUAUUGCAUGUGCUGCUUCUAUGGCUCCCGUGGCAGAAAACGCCCAACCGCUUCCUAUAUAUCAAAAUGAUUUCACAUACCACAAGACAAAGAAAAAAAGUUAGUGUUAAUAAUUAUUUUCCCAUUCCAAAAUAAGUGUCACACUAAAAAAAAUUGUAGCAAAAUAAAUAUCACAUUUAACUUUUCAACGUAAAAUUAAUUAUUUUUUUCACCAAUAACUCUAAUAAAUAUAUUUUUAGUUUUUAAAUCUAGUAUUAAUGGUAAUCUCUUUCACUAAUAAGGUUAGUUUGGUAAAAAUAUUAUUUUAUUUUAUUUUAUUUUUAAUUUAUAUAAAACAAUUUAAGACAACUGUUUAUUUUAAGAUAGAAGGAGUGGUAAUUACGUAGUAAAAACAAUUAAUGGUUUCACAUACCACAGCCCCCUUGGUACUUUACUUGGGUGAUGACACCUUUUUUCCUCCAAUCCCAUGAUGCAGGUGGAUGGUCACAAGAAUAUUGUUCCUUCUUCAUUUUCUUGUUGGCCAUUUUGAUUUGCUGCGACACAUCCUUGGGAGCUUGCAAGUACUUUUUGCUGAACUCUUGAGGAGUGAUGUCAGCAAACUUGUUCAAUCCUAAACGAUGAGAAUGGGGUGAUUUUCUGUUUGCAUUCAUGUCCCUGAUAUAGUUCAAGUUAUUCUUGAAAAUCUCAAGUCUCUUUGCCUCUUCUUCGUGGUUAUGGUAGACACGUCCAUGCUCACUCUUCCAUAGUUGGAACAGUGAAGACACCUGUUUCUGUGUGGUAAACUUGGUUAGGUCAAGGUCCAAUAUGGAACGAUGAGUUGAUAUGCUGGAACUAGAAGAGAGACCUAAGAGGGAGAAAAGAAGCAACACAAGGAAACCCAUAACUUGGUGGAAGAAUUUUAUGAUUUGAAAUUAAGAUAUGGUCACUUCACUUGUAGCAUGUCGUAUAUAUAGUGAUUAGUGAGCUAGCUAGUAAUGACUGAAGAAGUUCCCUCGUAGCUAUAUAUUUGGUUUAAAUUAAUUUCUGAUACGUAAUUGAAUUGUGAUUUGGCUUAAAAACCAACAGGGAAUGACAGUUUGCCAACUUUUUUAUUAUUAAACUAGAACUUCUGUAUUGUUUUGAUAUGAAUUUUCAUUAUCCAGCAGGGGCAGUGAAAAAGCCGGUCUAUCUAGCCAAUAUUCUUUAAUUUGAUUAUUUUGGAUUAUAAAAUUGGAUAUAAUUCUCUUUAUUUAAAAUUUAUCUCUUUCUGUAAGUUUUGUGCUAACACAAAAUGAAUUUUCAUUAUAUAUAAAAUAGUAAACUUGUAUAUAUCCAUUUAAAAAAAAAUUCAAUUGAUGUUAAACGUGUAUAUUCUAUCUGAUUUCGACUUUCAUUACUGCUUGAAUCACGAUGUUUAUUUAUUUAGUUGUAAUUAAUUUGAUGUGAAUGUGAAGUAGGACAUUUUUCAAAUUUUUGCCUCACUGUUACCAUUCUUGUUUCGGUUUGGUAAAAUGUGAAAUUGCAGCUUAUAUACAGCACACAGUUGAUUUAAAGCGUAUUUUUAUCAGCUUAUUUCAAAGUUAAAAGAAGUUUUAGAGCUUUUGAUGUUUUCUUUUCUCAAAAUAAUCUAUAUGCAUUAAUUUAUACGUCCGAUGGCAAUGUGUGUUUGAAGUUUAGGUAAUAGGACGCAUUUUAUUGCAUUGGGUACUCAGGUUUAGAUCAUGAUUCUUCCUUCAUUUGAUUCAUAUGCAAUAGUUAGACUCAUUUAGGUUAUUUAGCAGGGCCAUAAAACCAAUAGCAUAAUACUGCAAUAAUUAAUAAUGCAUAUAUAAUAAUGUAUAUUUUUUUAUAUAAAAGUGGAGCAUAUAAAAUGAAAGGAAUAGAUUAGUAUCCUUAAUUUACUUGCAAGUGAUUGCAUGCACUUUUGUCUGAUUCACACAUGUAAAAUCGAAAAAUCAUUCAAUAUUGGCUUUGUACUCAAAUGGUCCAAACUCGACACUGCAUUCAAGAUGAUGUGCGAUAUGAUUCUGGCCUUUUGUUUACAGAAAAAAGUCGGCACUGUUAAAAUUAUUAUUCUAUAAUCGAUUGAAGUUUUGUCCAUUGUUUAAUCUGCGUACACGUCUUGGGGAAUGAUGAAUCGUUGAUAAGCAGCGAGCCUCAUAAGCUAGACUGCUAGAGGCACAUCACCUUCAUCAGAGUAACGUGUUGUUUGCACCUGCAUGUGCUAUUUGUUAUUUUAGUUGGAGUUUUAGCAAUAAGGCAAUGGAACCUGAAACAACUCAAAAUGUAAUUUGAGAGCUUUUUUUAGUUAUCUUUUAAAGUAUAUCAACAUUUUCAUUUUCAGAAAAAAAAUCACUCUAAUUAAACAUAUUUUGAAAGAUAAAGAAAUUGUGAGUUUAAACUCUACCACUAAUAAAAACUAACAAUUAAAAAAAAUCAAAUUAGUCAUUGAUGAACUAAAUAAACCAAGUUAGUUCUGAAAAAGUUAAACCAUUAUAUUAAUUAAUUCAUAUAUAUAUAUAUAUAUAUAUAUAUAUAUAUAUAUAUAUAUAUAUAUAUAUAUAUAUAUAUAUAUAUAUAUUAACUAGUUUCCCUGACAAAUACGUUACACCUUUAAUUUAUUCCUUACAUUUGCAAUAAGAACUUGAUCAAUAUAUUAUUAGUUUGAAUGAAACUAAAUUUAGUCUCUUAAUUAAAUAAGAUAUUAGGUUUGAGUUUUUUAAAUGAAUAUACACGAUUGAUAAAAAAAAAUUCAUUAAACAAUUUAAGUUUCUGAACAAAAAAUAAUCAUAAGGAAAAUUAUUGGAUAGCACAUUGAUAUUAUGAUGACUUUAAAAAAAAACUUGACCUCCUUUAAUGCAAUCUUCUCAAGGAGAAAACCCAUUACCAAAGUCAUGGUUGGAGACUUAAAAGAUUGAGUCAGAGAUGCAGGAGAAGACCUUAGGAUUCUCAUGAGCCUUAAGGUAGAUUUUCGAUCAAUAGACCAAGUAUGAAUCCACUUAUUUUUGUACAUAUAUUAUAUUAGGAUUUCAUUAUUUUUGAGUCUUGUAUUUAGGACUCCAUAGUGUAAGGAGGGUACUCUGAUAAUAUAGGAUUUUUCAGUCUUUGUAUUUUAGGACACCUAGACUAGUUUUUGUAUUUGAGAUAGUUUUGUAAUUUCACGUGCAUUCAGUGCACUAUUUGAUGUGUGUGUUAAAAAAGAAAUUUAAUUGAAUUGGGAGAAGCUCAAUCCAAUUAAAUUUUGGACCAGCCUAAAGGGAAGGUGAGCAUUUGCUUGUUACACCUCAUUGUCACAUCAUAUGGUCAUACUUUGUACAUGUCCUUUAUAUUUUACAUGCCUCAUGACACCUAAGCACACUUAGUGAAGAACUUUGGACUUGAUAUUGGAUUAGCAGACUAAACCAUAGUUGAAAUUCACUGAUUAUAAUUAAUGAAAUUUUGACUCAAAAUUUGACUCUAUAAAUUCAAAUUCAAGUGAAAUUUGAAUAGAAAUCUAAAUUUUUCUCCAAUUUUGAAUGACACUUAAACUAUAGAGGUCUUGUGUGUGUAUUUUUUCAAUUUUGAUCAUUUAAGAAAUUAGACUUCAAUGUUCAGACCUUAUUUGAGGCAUAAAUUUUGUGUCAUCUCUCUCCCUCUCCCUCCACUCAUCUUCUCUUACUUUCAAGCUCUUAUUCAUGACUUCCUAUGGUGGUAAGCUUAUUCUUGACUCAUUUUUUCUUAAAAAUGAGGUCUCCAAUCACCUUUCUUACUUCUUCAUUUUGUUGUCAUUGAUCUUCAAGAAGCAAAUGACUUCAUUAAUGAAAAAGAUCCAAGACCUACAAACUCUACAUAAAACUACAUCAUCCUUACUCCCUUAACAUGAAAUCACAAUCAAAAUCAUGUCCACAAAAGACAUUUUAUCCUUUAUUUUCUCCUGAACAUAGACAAAAUCACGUCCAACUUAGUAAAAGGUACCUAAAAAGUUCUUCAAGAGAAUCAAGACGAACAUGCUAUUUUCCCUGAAAAAUUCAUAAUCGUUUAUAGUUAAAACAAGUACCUUUUGUGUGCCAUGUUUUUGCCUUCAUAAUUGUGCUAUAUGAGAAUUUUCCAUUAUAAUUGUAUGUCAUGUUAUGAGGGUUGUUUAUCCGACCAAGGUUGACCUUGACUGGCCGUGUAUUGAGUCAUUAAGCAUUAAAAAAAUAUUUAUAAAUAUUUCUGGAUCGUUAAUUUAAUAUGCUAGUGAGAAAAGAGAGAAUGCUAGAUUUUUUAUCCAUAGUAAUAAAACUCAAACAUUAACAGAUUUAUAACAAAUCAUUAACAUUUUUUAACCAACUAAUUCUCCUAUUGGGAGAAUGCUAGGUUAGUUAAAAGACGAACAUACUAUUCUCCAUGAAAACUUCAUAAUCGUUUAUAGUUAAAAGAAGUACCUUUUGUGUGCCAUGUUUUUCCCUUCAUAACUGUGCUAUAUGAGAAUUUUCCAUUAUAAUUGUAUGUCAUGUUAUGAGGGUUGUUUAUACGGCCAAGGCUGAUCUUGACUGGCCGUGUAUUGAGUCAUUAAGCAUUAAAAAGAUAUUUAUAAAUAUCUCUGGAUCGUUAAUUUAAUAUGCUAGUGAGAAAAGAGAGAAUGCUAGAUUUUUUAUCCAGUGUAAUAAAACUCAAACAUUAACAGAUUUAUAACAAAUCACUAACAUUAUUUAACCAACUAGCCAUUCUCCGAUCGGGAGAAUGCUAGGUUAGUUAUGAAGUUUGAAAUGAGAGAUUGCACUAUUUGAAGUAAUAAAAUAAUCGUAAUUAGCUUAAUUAAAACAUAUAAUAUAUUGAUAAUAAUUAAUUUAAUUAUUUCAAAUUAGAAGAUAUAUUUGUUCUAAUUAUCUUAAUUAUUAUAUUUAUAUAAAUUAAUGAAUUAAAAAAUAGAAAAAAAAAUGUCUAAUAUUUUCCUGCUCAAUUGCAUACUUUUAUUAUGAUAAAGAUGUAUUCAGAGUUUGGAUUUUGCUGUUACUCUAUCAGAGUUAAUGCUACAUGUCAUUUGAUCUCUCCCUUCAGGACUAAGCUUGACUCUUGAAGCUUUUAUGUGUACUUGUCAUAUUAUUGGGUGCCGUCUUUAAAAAACAAAUCAACCUUUCGACGGUAGCUAGCUAGCUAGCUAAUGGGAAAAACUAAUUAAACAGGGCAUUAAUUAUUCCUUUCACAUAGUCAAGGUAAAGGCAUGAAGCAAAGGAAAAUCCAUCUGCGAAUAUAUAUGUUGAUUAAAACACAUGCAACAGUGGCAGUGUUCUAUUUUAUUAUUUUUGAGAAAAUAUAGUUGUGUGUUUUAUUUUUGCUUUCACGUCAGUACUACGUGGGGCAUGCAUGGUCACAAAAUCAUAUACAAUAUAUGAUGCUUGUCUCUAAGAAAACAAGCACUCGUUAUAAUUGAACCUUCACUGCUCAAAGAGGAGAGUAAUCCACUCUUUGAUCAGCUUUAACACGAGCAGACACGAGUGUUGCUGAUUUCUCUUUGGUUGGCCAAGAAGCAAAAAAAUUCAUCCCACAUACUCCCACUUUAUGACCAGUUUUUCUUUGGAUCCAAAUAUAACCAUCCAUUAUUCCCCAAUCUUUUCCCCAUGACUAUUUUGCUAUCCAAUAAUCUACACCAUCCACGGAACCAUAACCCACAAUUAAAAUAAAGUGGUUAAUCCCAUAAGGACUUGAAUAGUAUUAUUACUUACGCCAGUGUAGAAAUAAAAAUCUUUUCCGUCCAAGGCCACACUAAUUGGUUGCUCAAGGGUGGCGCACAACAAUGUGUUAAAUUAAAAUUAAAAAAGAUUUUAUUUAAAAAUAAAUAAAGUUUUUAAAAAAUAAUGAGAUUUUUACAAUUAAAUAGAUAAGAAGAAAUAAUUUUAUUAAUUAAAAUAAUAAUUUUAAGGUAAAUAAAAUAAAUCUACAUCCUUAGAAAAAAAUAUUUUAUUCAUUCAUUUGAUAAGAAAUAAAAUAGAAUUUUUUUAUAAAAUAAUAAAAUAAAGAAAAAUAAAAUAAAUAAUAGGCUCUGAGUACCCUAGUUAUAAAUAGAGACAUAUUAAGUCGGUCAGUUUUCACAUUGACAUACGUCUCUAUGCUUUGUCUUCCUCUGAAUUUUGUUUUCCCUUCAUCCCCUCUCAAAAUCCUCUCUUUUUUUAAUAUACACCCAAACCCAUUUUAGUAAAACGACGAUUUCAGACUCGUUAAUCAUUGGAUCAUCGUGAAAUUUAAACACCAGGUUCAAAACUCAUUUUCGCACAUCCCAAACGUUGGGAUUUGUAAAUAAUGUCUAUGGAGAGAAAUGUCCCUCAUACGGAGACAGUGAAACGGAGGCUCCAAUUCUUUCUCCUUCUCUUUAACGCUUGAAUACCUUAGCAAAGCUGCUAGAGACGCUGCUAUCACUACCAGACUACACACGUAAGUCCACUUAGAGGUAACAUAUGAGUUUAUUGCAAUUAGGGUUAAAAUUAAUAUGUGUAGAAAUCCUUAGAGGAUCAAAUUGAGAUUUAUUUUGGAAUGUUUACUGUAUUAUAAUUCUGCCUUUGCAAUUAUAAUUAUGAGAUUAUUAUGUUUGAUGGGUCAAUCGAUGUCUUGAUGUGAAUUGGUUGAUAAAAUUGAGUGCUCUUAGUGUUUUCAUAUUUUUGACCUAUAAUUUUGAUUCAUUUGAUUUUGAUAUGAGUAUGUGAAAUUGUUUGAGGGGUUUAAUCAUACAAACAUAACAUAUUAAUAUUAUUAUUGUCUGGCAUGUAUAUGAUGCAUGAGGAGUUAAUGCAUGACAAGUAUUGUGAUGGAAUCCACUGUGCAAACACGACGAGUUUAAUCACUUUGAGACAUGAAGAGUUAAAAUUAUUUUAAGAACAAUUGAGGAGUCAUGUGUUUUAUACAGUUCAUAGAUAAAAUUUGUGUGCUAAAAUAUUUUCUGGGUUGGACCUGAAUCAAGAGGAAGAAGCCCUGACGAACUCUUCGGAGUCUAGAUCUUAGGAGUAAAUACACCCGGUUUGAGUGAUCCUUUAAACUUGUGUCAGUUCCACAUGAUUGGAGCAUUCUCACAAAAUAACGUGACUUUAACUAGUCUCCCUAUGAUUUUACCUAGUGAGAGUAACUUGACUUACUAGUAUGUGAUAUGUCUUGUAAUGUACUCCUGGGCACCAAACAAGGUUUUUCACUAACAUGGUACCACAUUGCAUAUAUGAUUGAGUCUUAAUAUAUUUGUUGCAUAACGCUUGUGUAUUGAUCAAUAUUGAUUGGUUGAGUGGUAUUGUGUUUUGAUCGUACAUAAAUGAUGUAAAAACGUGUGAGACGUGUAGUGUUGAGAUGUGAUGUUAUGCGAUAAGUGGUGGAAUGACAUGAGUCGUGUUAAAGUAAGAUGUAUUUCAUUUAUAUGAUAUGUAUAUAUAUGUUAUCUCACUUCUCUCUAUUAGUUAGGAAUGUGAUAAUUCACUCUCUGUAUGUUAUUUGUGUUUGGAUCUUAUGAGGAUUUCGAACUUUGUGUUCGAGAGAGCAAAUGGUUAGGUGAAUGACUAUGGAUAACCCCAUGUUAAUUAGAGGAUGCUGAAACACAAUGCUCUCAUAGGAUGUAACAUUGGACCAUAGGGUUCUGUAUUAAUUGCAUGAAGUUUUGGAGAUGUAGUUUUUAUCGUUUUGUUUCACAUGUUGAAUCUUUAGUUCAUUCUUUAGAGUUUUGGACGGCCUGAUUUUGAGUCGGAGAUAUUUCUAAUAAAUUUUAUCCACGUGAAUUUGUUUAAGUGAUUUGAAUAAAGUUAAUUUAAUUAAAUUUUAAAUUCUUAUAUAUUUUUUUAAGUAUAUGUAUGUCGAGAUAAAAAGUGUUACAAUUAGACCAUCAAAAGUAUCAAUUGUAACCUUGUUUGGUGUCUACCUCCAUAAAAGGUGCACAUGCAAAACAAAGAGAUAAAAGGGUAAAUUAAUUAAUGGGUUCUAUUGUCAAAAGAAGGUAAAAGAAAGAGGGAAUGAAUUAUGGAAUCACAUAUUCAAUGAUCGUGAGAGACCUUAUUGGCUUUGCAGGUACCAUUAUUAGCUGUAUAAGGAUAAUCAACUUCAGUGGCAAUCCCACCAUUUUCUAUAACCCAUUCGUAUGCAUGAAAGUGAUAUAUCCACCGUAACAACCGCGGCUCUUAUUGACACAAUCAACGAUUUCUUGUUCAGAAAGGCUAACAAGGUCUCCUGUCACUAUUGCAUUUUUUGCUUCAAUGGCUCCCGUGGCAGAAAAUGCCCAACCGCUUCCUACCAAAAUGGUUUCACACUCCACGAGUCAUUUCCAAAUAAAAAAAAUUGAACCAUGUUAUUGUUAAUUAGAUUAUCUUCAAACUUUUGUAAAAACUAUCAAAUAUAUUUAGUUGACAAACAAAUUUUAAAAAUACAAAACUGUUUUAAGCAAAGCCUUAGUAUAGUUCUAAUGCAACUGUUUAUAUUGGUUCUUAAAAGUUAAAAUUAAGCGACUUGAGAUUACUGUUAGAACAAAUUAAUGAAUUCAUUAAAGUGCUUAUAUAAGUUGUUUGUAUAAAUAAUCGCAAACAAGGUUGUUUAAUCAUUGGAAAAAUAAAUUUCCAAGUCAAAAUUUGAGUUGUUGAACGUGAGUCAAAAGAUAAAAUGAGACUCAAUAAAAAUAAGUUAAGAAUUCAAGUUGCACUCUUUCAUUAGAAUGAAAAUUAUUGAGUAUUUUUAAAUCUUAUAUAAGAAUAAGAGGCUUACUAAAAAGAGUCAUGAUAUUCGUAUACCUCAAAAUGAGAUGGAUUUGGUUGGAAAAAGAGAUAGAAACAAAGGAAAAUGUAGAUAAAGUAAUGGAUGUGAUAAUUUAUGUGAUAUAUAUAAAAAAAAUAAAGACAGAAAGAGAGAAAAAAUAUGGUGAAAAAGAGAUGGAAGAAAAAGUAGAUGAAUAAUAAGUAUUUUGCUGCUAAAAAUGAGAAUUAAGAAACCAUAUGGUAGUAAUAUUGCACGAGUUAACAGGCCCAAAAGGAUAACCAUUAGGCCAACCCACUCAGAGACUAUGUGUGAAGGAGAUAAGGACAGAGUUGACAAAUUGCUGAGAGAUUCCACACCACCAUGUCAGCAUUCUGUUAUAACCACUUAGGAAUAUUUACCAAAUUCUGUUAUUCCAAUACUCUGCACCAGCUGGCCAAUGAUUGGCAGCAACAAUCAUCAUCUGUAUUUCAGUAUAAAUAUUACAAAUAUGAAUAAAACAAGGGCACAGAAUUAUCCAGUAACAAUUUUAGUAUAGCUUAGCAUAGUAUCGGCACCUAACAUAUAAUGUUUAUUAAUUAUGAGGGUCACUUGCACCAUCUCGUAUAUAUAGUGGUUAAUUAGUGGGUAAUGAAGUUCCUACGUACGUUGUUAAAAUACAAUAAUGUUUUAUUAUCCUAACAUACGAGGAUAUGUUUUUUGUUUGCAUUUGUGGUAUUUAAUAUAAUUGUGAUUCGGCCUACAAGCUAGCUAGCUAUAGGGAGUGUCACACAGCAAAAUAACAAGAAUUAAUUUUUAAAUUAAAACUUUUUUUGUUUUCUUCUGAUUAUUGUGGGUUAUAAAAAUGAAGAUAGAUUUAUUUCUUUCUUUAAGAUUUGUCUCUUUCUGUAAUUUUUGUGCUAAUACAAAGUGGAUUUUCUAUAGAAUAUAAUCAACUUGUAUGUAGCCAUUUUAAAAACAUUCAAUUGAUGUCAAACGUGUAAUAUUCUAUCUGUUUGUGACAUUUAGUGCUUGAAUAAUUUGAAAUGUUUGUUUCUUUGGUUAUAUAAUCUGAUGUGAAGUAGGAUACUUUUCAAAGCCUCACUCUGCAACCAUACUUGUUUCCGGUCGUUUGGUAAAAAUCAAGUGAAAUUGCAGCUUACUACGUACACAGUUGAUUUAAAGCGUACACGUUUUUAUCAGCUUAUUUCAAAGUUAAACAACCAUAUAUUUUUUUAAAAUAACAUGUAUGCAUUUAUAUUUUGUUAAACGUGUAUUCUAUCUGUUUUCUAGAUUUAUUGACCAAAUAACAAUAUUUUUCAAAUUAAAACUUUGUAUUCUUUUGUUUAUUGUGGGUUAUAAAACUGUAGUUUUCUUUCUUUCUUUAAGAUUUGUUUCUUUCUGUAAAAGGAAAUACAGUACUGGAGAACCUAUGAACGAUGAAACAUGUUAAAGAGAAAGGCAUGAAGCAAAGGAAAAUCCAUUUGUGGAUAUAUCUCAAAACACAUGCAACAGUGGCUGUGUUCUAUUAUUGACUAUCACAUUAUUUGAAGAAAAACUAGUUCUGUGUUUUAUUUUUGUCCUUCCACAUCAAUACAGCGUGGAAGAUUCAUGGUAACACAGAAUCAUGCAUACGAUGCUUGUCUCUAAGAAAACAAGCACUAGAUAGUUAACUGGACCACCUUCACGGUUCAAAGAGGAGAGUAAUCCACUCUUUGAUCAGCUUUAACGCGAGCAGACACCAGUGUUUCUGAUUUCUCUUUGAUUGGCCAAGAAGCGAAAAAAUUAAUCGCACAUACUCCAAUUGGAUUAGCAAUAUUUCUUUGGAUCCAAAUGUAUCCAUCCAUUCCCCAAUCUUUUCCAAAUGAAUUUUUUACUAUCCAAUAAUCUACACCAUCUAACGAUCCAUAACCCACUAUUAAAACAAAGUGGUUGAUCCCAUACGGACUUGAACAGUUUCCUCCAUCAUAAAUUCCCUGCACAAAUCAAUGAAUAAUAAUAAUACUAACCCCCAAUUAUAUAAUAUUCUUCCAUCAUAUCCCUAAUUAUAAUUAUAAGUUCCUUAAGAAAAAUGAUUAUUUAGUUAAUCUUAUUAAAUAUGUCAAUAAUUUUUACUAUUAUUCCAAAAAAAAUUAUUUUUCUUAUCUUUUAUUUACUUAAUUGUUUUUCAUUAAUUUUUUGAGAAAGAAUAAUUAAGUAAGGAUGUUUAGGAGAAAAAAUAAUUAAUAUAUCUAAAAAUUAGAAAAAGAUCUUAUAAAUAAAAAAACAAAACAAAUUUAUGGAAAAAAAAUAUAAUAAGGAAAGGAGGAAGUAUAUAUUACUGUAAUUAAUUACUUACGCCAGUGUAGAAAUGAAAAUCUCUUGCGUCCAUGGCCACACUAAUUGGUUGCUCAAGGGUGGCGCUCAACAGUGCUUUGUCUGUCUCUGGUUGUGUACUAUGUUCUGAUAUUAUUAGACCUCCAAAAUUGUCAAUUGUAACACUGUUCUGUGUCUACUUCCAGAAAAAGGUACACAAAUGAAAAAAAAAGAUGAAAGGCAAGAGUAAUUAAUGUGUUAUAAAUAUAUGCGUAGACAAGCAAAGUUGUCAAAAGAAGGUAACAGAUCGAGGGAAUGAAAUCACAUAUUCACAUACCUUAUUGGCUUUGCAUGUACCAUGAUCUUCAGCUGUGUAAGGAUAGUCAACUUCAGUGGCAAUUCCACGAUUUUCUAUAACCCAUUCAAAUGCAUGAAAGUGAUAUCCACCGUUACAACUGUUGGCUUUAUAGACACAAUCUGUGAUUUCUUGUUCAGAAAGGCUAACAAGGUUUCCUGUCACUAUUGCAUUUUUUGCUUCAAUAGCUCCCGUGGCAGAAAAUGCCCAACCAUUUCCUAUAUAUCAAAAUGGUUUUCACACUCCACAAAUCAUUUACAAAUAAUAUACAAAAGAAGUUAAUUAGUGUUACUAGCUAUUUAUUAUUAGGUUUAAAUACUUUUUUCCCUAUAGUAUCUUUUUAUUUUUUGUACAUCCUUAACACAUUUUAAAUGAUACCUUAAACAGUAAAAAAAUAUUAUUUAAAAUACUUUAAAAAUAAAAAAAAAACAAAAAUAAAUAUAUUUUGUAAAAACUAAAAAUAAUAAUAAAAACAAAAAUAAAAAAUAAAAUACUAAAUUAGAAGGAAAAAAAAUUAACUUUAUUACUAACAUAGUAACAUCACAUACCACAGUCCCCUUGGUACUUUACUUGGGUGAUGACACCUUUUUACCUCCAAUCCCAUGAUGCAGGUGGAUGGUCACAAGAAUGUUGUUCCUUCUUCAUUUUCUUGUUGGCCAUUUUGAUUUGCUGCGACACAUCCUUGGGAGCUUGUAAGUACUUUUUGCUGAACUCUUGAGGAGUGAUGUCAGCAAACUUGUUCAAUCCUAAACGAUGAGAAUGGGGUGAUUUUCUGUUUGCAUUCAUGUCCCUGAUAUAGUUCAAGUUAUUCUUGAAAAUCUCAAGUCUCUUUGCCUCUUCUUCGUGGUUAUGGUAGACACGUCCAUGCUCACUCUUCCAUAGUUGGAACAGUGAAGACACCUGUUUCUGUGUGGUAAACUUGGAUAGGUCAAGGUCCAAUAUGGAGCGAUGAGUUGAUAUGCUGGAACUAGAAGAGAGACCUAAGAGGGAGAUAAGAAGCAACACAAGGAAACCCAUAACUUG
RNAcentral lists this long non-coding RNA (51292 nucleotides) under Glycine max (soybean). RNAcentral's name for it is "long non-coding RNA (GMAX_LNC001685)". The record is from RNAcentral. Lineage: Eukaryota; Viridiplantae; Streptophyta; Magnoliopsida; Fabales; Fabaceae.